CAUGGGAAUCGGGUAGCGAAAUGUUGAGCACCCUCAAGUUGGGCUUCUUCAGCAUUGGGACGGCACCGUCGGUGCUUUCGUCGCAGAAGAUCUCGUACCACUCAUCGAGGAAACACCCGGUACCAAUCCCGAAGGGAAAGGGAAUGGUGACGCCACCACAUGUUGGGGGGCAAUUACCCUUCACCAGGGGAGCUGCUAGCGAGGCUUCUUCAUGAAGCAGAAGCGACCCUAGAAGCAGAAGAAUCUGAAACAUUCUUGUUCCUGCUUCUUUUCUCGGGAAAUCGUGGACCUGUUCGAGGAAUGAAUGGCGGGCGCAGCUACUUAGGGUACGUUUAGUAACAUUUAUGUUUAAAAAUUAUUCCAGGGAACAGAAAUAGAAAAAAGUGUUUCUGUUCCGAGGAACAAUUUUUGGAUAAAAAAACGCAUUUGAUAAACUUGUUCCGGGAAUAAAAAAUGAACAGAAACGUGUUUGGUAAAUUUGUGUUCUUUUUUCGUUUCUUUUAAUAUUUUUAAUAUUUUUAACAUUUUUUCUUUCUUUUUUCUUUUUUUCUUAUUUUGGCCGGUCGCCGGCCUCGGCCAUGGCCGACGAUCGGCCGACGAGGGCCGGCGGCCUCACCCAACCACGGCGAGCCCAGCCACUGGGCUCGCCGUGGUUGGGCGAGACUUGGCCUCGCCUUGGCUGGGCGAGCUCGAGCUCGCCCAAAUCCGGUGAGCCCAAGCUCUCCCAGCCUUACCCCGUGCCGGCGAGGCUCGGCCUCGCCGGGGGCUAGCGACGCUUCGGCGAGGUCGCCAGCCAUGGCCGAGGCUGGCGACUGACCAAAGAAAAAAGGAAAAAGAAAAGAAGAAAAAAAGAAAAGAAAAAGAGAGGAGAGAAAAAAUUUGUUCUUAAAAAUUGUUCCAUAAAUAAGAAACACGUUUUUCUUGUUUCUUGUUUCUGUUCCAAAUGUGUUCUUGGGAACAAAAAAAUAGAUUUGAAACAAAAACGCAAACAAACGCGUUUUUGUUCUUUUUUUAUUCCCUGGAACAAAAAAAUAGAAAUUUUGUUCAUAAACAGAAAUAAAGAACAUUAACAAAUAAGCCCUUAUAUGCCACUUUCUCCCGUUGUCGUGGACGCUAUCAUAUUCGAGGAUACUUUCUUGAGUAGAACUGUCAAAGCUUCAAAUCCAUCCUGGAGUAUGAAAAUUCUCCGCUCCUAUUUUGGCGGCCAACUGAGAAGGAUGUCUCCAUUGGCUCUGCCUUGAUGGCAAUCGCGACUAUUUUUUUUUCAAUCUCAGCUGAAUAUGAAAAAAAGAAGAAAUUAACUAAAUAAACACAAAAAUAUUAAAAGUGAUGAGAUUUGGAGAUAUUUUCUUUUGUUCCCCGUUGAAAUGUCUCCUUUCAGAGAGGCUCUAAGUCAUUUUAAGAUUGGACGUCUUUGAAGGCUCCUCCUUUGUCCUGGAUCCUCACGAGGACGAGGGUUGAAAGGUCCUGUGAAAUGGGAUAUUUCGGAAAUAUCUGUGCAUGUCCUCCUUGCGUGUCCCACUGAAUUAUUCUUCCGCCAACGAUGACAACAGCGAAACCGAGGCAAUAUACUGGUUCAUACCUAAUAAGUAACUGUAUAUACUGUAGCAAUACAUUGGUGAAUGUAAUAGAAAAUGUCACAUCAGCAUUGUUUUCCUUAUUAAAUUUUCAAUUUUUUUUUGGAUGUGGUCCUUCUCCUGGUUGAGUGAUCCGUAGUAGAAAACACCCCGUGCCACUCGCACAUAACUAUAUAUAUUACACCAACGUAUAGGUAAAAUAGGAAAAAAAAGGUAAAAUCGUUUUUUUAUUUUCUCUUAUUAAAUUUUCAAGUUUUUUUUUAUGUGACGCACAUCCACGUUACGUGUUUUUAGAACACAAUUAAAAAAAGGAAGCCACAUUAGUAUGCUAUGUUGGCUAAAUUGGACGGAAUUAAUGAAGAAACUUCAUCAUAUCAGCUUAAUAAAUUUUAGGACUUGAUUCAAUUACUUAAAAGUUUUAAAAUUCGAUUAUACUUUUGUGAUGAGUUUCAUGGCUGGUGGUGCACUCAUCCAAAACAAAUAAGAACACUGAUCUUGUAGAUAGCCUUUUUUCUUUUUCUUUUUUCUUUUUGGAAAAUUGAAAUAUCCAAUGGCUUGAACUUCUUACGUCUGAUCGAGCUCAUCUAAAAACUUUCCUCCAUGUCAUUCCUCCAUGAUAGGAUCUUUUAAUUCCAUGCACUUUUUUUUGAGUCACGGCUAUUAUAAGGAAAGAAAAAACCUCAGAAUCAACAGAAGGUCUCAAACUAUCAAAUGGGUAUUGGCAAUAUUUAGAAUUUGAAAAAUUGAACCUCUGAACGAAGAUCCAUAUGCAUUCAUGCUAUGACACAAGCACCCGUACAUUGCCACAUAUGAUGGACGAUAUUUCAAUUUAAAUAUGGCUGAGAUUUUAUAUAUAUAUAGACACACACAUGUUAAGAGGUGGAUUUUAUUGGUUUUUGGCCACUAGUUGGUGGGAAGGGAGUUUUUGGCCGUAAUAAUUAAUUGUGCGGCACGCUCAUAAAUUAUAUCCCAAAGAAAUUGCUAGUGUUUUGGAACCGUGACAAAGUCUUGUGGUAAGAAUUUGCGUCUUCUUUGUGAGAAUGGGCUAAACACUAUAAGUUAUUGGCAUAACUAGGUCUAAGAAGGGUUGUGACUUGAGUGUGAUUAUAAUUUUUAUUGUAUCUCCUUUAUCUAUCAUGAAACCUUGUGCUGCUCUCCCGAUGGAGCCAAACAUUUACUAGACCACGUAAAUAUGAUGUUCGAUUAAUUUCCUUAAUCUAUUUAUUAAUCUUUGGAUCACUUGUUUUCACAAAAAAUUGGUAUAAAAGAUAGUUAGGCUGAGUUGAAGUAGAUUGAUGGCUACAAAAGAAGGAAAUAUAAGAGUCAACAAAUUUGAUUGGAAGGACUUUAAUUUUCAAAAAUGCAUAUUACGGAUAAUAGGUACCAGAGGAAUCUAUGGUUAUCUUUGUCUAGAGAGAACCAAAGUCGAUAAAGCAAGCAAAUUAGGAUUUAAUGGACACACAUGUGUUGGUUAUUACUCAAUUGUCACGUUGAACAUUGCGGAAGAGAAGACCCUACAAAUUUAAUGAAUGUCUGUCAAACAUAUAUGAGAAGCCCUCUACAAUCAACAAUGUCUACUCAAUAUGACUCUGUUUCACUUAAAAGAUGGGUGUGUUGGACGCAAAUUGCGCAACCCCAAGAUCUCCAUAACUAGAACAAGAACAUGCAUAAUUGAGUAGAAAGAUUAACGCACCUGUUUCGGGAUCCAUCGAACAUAAAGCAGAAGCAGAAAAAAGGAUUACCCACAUAUCAAGGGGAUCUACACAUUAAGUCAUUCUCCUCUAUUGCCCUCCGUAUCACUAGCUCAAUGAGGUGGCCCCCCUCACGUGUAGCGUUAGGUAAACGCCCCUUAGGUGAGGAUACAUGUGAGAAUUAGAGUUAGAUGAGAGACUUGAGCACUUAUUUAUAGAGUUUCCAGCCAGUCCCUCUCAUUACGGGCCAGGCUCAACUCGGCCCACACUAGCCAGCCCAUAUUAGACUAAUUAAGAAACUUCUAUCUCACUAUAGACCAACUCUAUUUUACGGUAACUGUAAAAACAGUAAAUUACAAUAUCAAUUAAUUUAAUCCACAUUAGGAAAACUCUUACAUUCUCCCACUUGGAUUAUAUUAAUUGAAAUCGACUGUAUGUGCGCACAUUUGGUCUAGAGAUAAUUCUUAAUAGUCAAUCAUAUCUCAUAAAGUCUUAAACACUGAAUCAUGGCGGUAAAUGCAUGUAUACACACAGAGCCUUCCAUGGUCACGAGUGUUCUCAACUUUAUUGAUAUGGAUUCAAUAUGGUAGUGUGGCAAAUGGAUAACAUCUCUCAUAGAGAGAUCACAUUUGUCAGUCACCAUUCUUUUACCUUAGGCGUCACAAAAACUUGUGCCACUAGAGAAUGUUUUAUGGUUCCAAUGAACCAACAUAUGUCUUGUCCUUAUGGUUAACCUUUCUUUAUGUAUCACAAGACAUAUGCACAAGACUAAUAACCGGAUGCCCCUAGCCUUCACUCAAGGUAAAUCCAGUACUGUUCAAAAAUAUUUUAUUGAAUGCAAAAGUUGAUACAUAUUAAAUCAUUACAAAGUGUAACGAACACAGAUGAAACAUUUCUCAGAGUAAAGCCAAAAUAGCUCCCACUAAACAACAGCAUCUCAUGAUGCUCCUAGGCCCAUGCUAAUGAUAUGCCACUCAAAUACACACGAGCAUAGGCCUUUAGUUAGUGGAUCUGCAAUCACAUCAUCUAUGAAAAUAUAUUAUAUUAAAACGUCACAUUUCUGUACCGUUUGCUUUUGGUAAAAAAUUUUGACCACCAUAUAUUUAGACCCCUUGAGACCUCAGUAGUAAAUAAAUAAUAUUACAAAUUUGUUAUCUCAAUACAAUCGUAUGGGUCAAUUCAUAAAAUUAAAAACGGUCAACUCCUUAAUGAGGUUCCAGAGCCUAAUAGCCCAAGUAAUAACCUAAAAGAAUGUUAUUAGCACUGCUUAUAUAGUAGAAGAUGACAUAGAAUUUUAUUUACUGCACUUCCUGCUAACAUAAAUAUGUAUUCCGUUAUUGAUUGCAUGUCAUCAGAACAGCCAGCAAAGUUUACAUCUAAAUACCCUACUAACUGCAAGAAUUGAACAUGUCUAUAAAUUAACAUAUAAUCUAUUGUCUUCUUUAAGUACCUUAAAACCUUCUUAACAGUAACCCAGUGAUCAUGUCCUGGAUUUGACCGAUAUCUGCUUAGAAGUCGCGUCACACAGACAACAUUUAGUUUAAUGCAAAUUCGAUCAUACAUUAUACUUUUAAGUGCACUGACACAAGGUACUUCUUUUAAUUAGAUUUUCUCAAUAUCUAAAUAAGGACAAUGUGAUAGAUUUAGUCCAUCACCCUUAAUAACAGGAGCAAUUCUUGGCUUGCAAUAAUGUAUAUUGAAUAUUUCCAAUAUACAAUCAGCAAAUGUUCUCCGAGAAAAUCUAAUAUAAUAUGUCAAAAACGGUCCUUACAGACCUCAGUACAUAGGAUAUAAGAUGUCUCAAGGUCACAACUUGUAAGUAAAAUAUUAUGUACAUAAAGUAUGAGAAAAAAUAAAUUUCCUCCCACUAACCUUACAGUAUAUUGAAUUACUUUGUUCCAAAUUAAACAAAAUAACAACAUUAUGAAACUUUAAUAAUAUUAUCUGGAAAUUUGCUUAAGACUAUAAAUAAGACUUUUCAAUCUACACACAAGUUUACUUGAAACAUUUGUUGCAAAAUUCUCCAAUUGAACAAUAUAGAUUUUGUAUCCAUUUGGCGUAACUUUAUAUCAAAAUAAAUUAUUAAUACCACGUUCACUCUGAAAGAAUAUUUACAGAAAUAAUUAUUUUUUUACUAUAAACAAUCCAUAUAAGAUGCAAAAUAAUUCCAAGUGGAUAUGAAUUCCGACGCACUUAAUAUUGGAUUAGAUAACCUCACUUUUGCAUGACACCUCUAAAUUUCAUAUGAUUCAAGUAAUUUAUGUCCAAUCUUUAAUUCAAAAGAAGUUUAUGAAACAACUUUGAUAAGAGACACAUUUUGUAUGUGAAAAAAAUUACUUUCAUAAUAUCAACCCACAAAAAACCAAAUAAAUUAGUCUUACUAAUCAUAUUCAUUACCAUGUUCAAUAUGGUGCAUUUAUGCCUUUUGGCCAAAUCUUUUUGUCAGAAUUUUCAGGUAUAAUAAUUAAAAGGCCAAUUCCAUAAAUAAAAAAAAGCACCAACUUUAGCCAUUUUCCCAAAUCUAGCCCGAACUAUAUUUUGUUCCAAAAAAAAGCCCAAACUUUUAGUAACAUCCCAAAUCUGACCUUCGUUAUCAUCCUUCCAUAGUCACCGUUAGUCAUCUCUGAGGCAUUUCCAUGUCACCCAGAAAAUUUGUUCCAAUUAUUUUCCAUUUUCUCGAAGAUUUUCCGUUCGUUUUUGUUCGGAAUUGAGCCAAGAAAUCACCGGUUUCUUAUCCUAGCGAGCGUGAGGUCAUGAUUGCAACGAUGGAUUCUAACGACGAGGAGGAGAUCGAGUUCGAAGAGGACAAGAAAGUUAGGGUUGUGAAGGAGGCCGGUGUCCCCGUCGCCGUCGACAAGGACGACGAGGAGACAACGAGGAAGAAGAGGAGGAAGACGGCAUGCAAAGCUAGGAGGAAGCGAACGGUGAAGGAGAUGGGCGCGGCGGCGUGGGCGACAAGAACGACGACGAGGAAGAGUAGGACGACGGUGCGUUAUCGACCCACCAAAGUCUCUUUUUUUUUCCGUCUCUUCCUCCUACUUUAACCUCGCUUGUCGCAGCCAUGGACGGGGCUUUGUUUCAGAUCUAGAGUUGGCCGUCAGGAAGAUGAAGACAAAGAUGAAUAGCCUCGUGAGCAGAUUGUGAAUUUCUGAAUCAACUUUAGCAUUCAAGUAUGGGAUUCUCUUCUUCUUUUUUCCUGUUCCAACGAUGAGCUGAAAUGAAUACAAGGAAACCUUUAGCAUUCAAGUUUCUGGGUUUCCUUUUCUUUUUCCCCCAAGAUUCCAUAGAUUUCCCAUAACCCAGCUUCCAUAGAUUCCGUAUAACUCGAGUUGUUUGUGGCCAUGUCUUCCAUGUUUGGCCAAAAAGACAAGUCAAGAGACUCACUGACUUUUUACUCACGUUGCUCUAUAAACUCCUCUAAAUAUCAGAUCUUUUGGCUAAAAAGACAAGCCAAGACACCCAUUGCCCCUUCCUUGUCUCAAAGAUUUUUCCUCACAUUUUUUCUUUUUGAAGACUUCUAUUUUUUCCAAAUUUUUGGCCAUUUGCUCAGGCCAAAAACGGGUAAAUAUGACCACAAAGACAAUGGAGAUGGAGGACUCCUUUCGGCGAAAAUGAAGCUAACAACAAGGACGACGGAGGGGUGGUCUGGUUUGGACGUGAAGUGUUGGCUUGGACGAGCAUCGACAAUGGACGCGCGGAUGUCAAGCUUGGCGGUGACUCUAGUCGGAGGAUGUCAGAGAGAGUGACUUGAUGAGUAGGACGAAGAGAAUGCCACUAACGGUGACUAUGGAAGGAUGGUUAACGGAGGCCAGAUUUGGGAUGCUACUAAAAGUUUGGGCUUUUUUUUGGAACAAAAUAUAGUUUAGGCCAUAUUUGGGAAAAUAGUUAAAAUUGGUGCUUUUUUAUGGAAUUGGCCUAGUAAUUAAAUUACCACCCCAGAAUCUACGAAGUAUUUGACAAAUGACCCUUUAAGCUAUUUCGCAUUGUCAUACUUGUCAAAAUACUCACAGCCACUGUUAAGCCUGACAACCUUUUAAGAUUAAUUGUAAUUGUUUUAUUCUUUAUCUCGGUCAUUUUCCUUAAACAUAAAAUUUUCGGAAACAACAUUUUAAUCAUAUACGAGAUGUAUAUGUCAUUAGGACUUAAACAAAAUCUUUGCAGAUAUGUCCUAAUUUCAAUAUCAGACAAUAUAUAAUUUCAAACAACUAAGGCUUCCAUCAUCUUAUAAAAGUGCAGUCUGCAGACAAACCUCUUUUCAAGUGUUCCAAAAUGGAAUGCUUCAUGAACAAUAAGCAAAUUCAAUUGCUCUUUUCUCAAGCAACAAAUCAUAUAUCCACAACUUAAAAUUUGAAGCGGUAAAAACCUCAAUAAUAAUGAAGUUAUUAAUUACAUAAAAUGUGACUGAAAACCAAGUAAUGUAUAUAAUUAGCAUUAUGUGAGCACUGUGUAACUUGACAUAUAAGUACACAUCUAGAGAGUUACACGCACAAUUAUAUAAUCACCUUUGGGCAUAAUACAUGACAUGCAGUUGUACACUCCCCACAUGAUAGCGGUUAUGAGAAUAUAUUCCAAUUCUUCGUGAAUUCAUCACCUUUGGGCAUAUUAAUCACUAGAAUCAGUCACCCUUCCAUCACAUUAUCAUGUAUCCCUCCAUGAAUUAAUACACAAUCACCUCCUUUGGAAGUAUGACUACGUAUUAGACCAAGAGACAUCACAAUCAUUAUACGAGAUCGAAAUUUCUCAAACCCAAUCAAGCGUGCCACUUUGGCGGUCACUACUCAAUUUAAUCAUUGAAAUUCUCUCAUACCAGGGAUAUAAACUUUACUUCUCACAUACACCAUAUACAUGUGAUGUUAACUUUAGUGAUAGGGACAUCAUAUCACCAAAAUCACAUAUCAUGCUAAUUACAUUACUUUAUUCAUUAAUAAAAUCUUUAUUUAUACAUACACACACACACACACACACACACACAUAUAGCGAACCUGAAAGACAGAUUCCAAUGAGAUCACUAAUCACAAUAACACAAGAAAAUUCUCAUAGAAGCAAGCAUCUUGUGCACCCUGAUUACUGAUUACUAAAAUAACAUUAAAAGAAUGCCGAUUCAAAGGAUCCCUCACAAGUUAACAUCAAUAGCAAUACAGGGUACUCUAGAUUGACAAGCUUGAUAACUAAUCAACUAUUGCUCAUGAGUUUCAUACGGCAAAACAUGACUCCAAGACCAACAACUGAUUUAUUAGCCAAUUUUUAAGUAACAAAUUAUCAUUGUAAUCAACCAGUGGCCUAUUAAUUGAGUCAAACCAAAGAACAAAAUAUCUAAAAUUUAACAGUAGAUACUAUUGCUCUGCGUAAAUGUUGUUAUACUCCUUAACCAUAAAAAUAUUUAACUUGAUAGACAUUAACAAGUGACCAGAUGAGUUCAUGUACAAUAUGCAGUAACUUAAUUGACAUGCAUUACCCACAUACAUCAGAUAUGUUAAUCAGUACAAUCAGUUUAGUCAUGAGUUCUUAAGACAUCCAUCAUUCAAAGAUUACCAGCGUAUCAAGGAGUAUGCUUAAGUAACACAAGUUUUAUAACCUUUACUGUUUUUCAUCAGCUCAAUACAUAGCUCAAUUAGUAUUCCAUAAUGGUUGUAUAUCAUUAAGCCAGCUUCAGUUCACAAUAAAAUUUAAUUUUUAUUAAUGAAUCAUAACAUUAUAAUAUUUAUGUGAUAACAUACCUGUAACUCAACACUUAUAUUUCCAAAAUCACAGAAAAUAUAAGAAAAAUACGCAAAAAUACACUAAAAAUACACGUAUUUAGGGUUCCGUAUGUAUUUUUACAUCCAUAAAAUUUCAAACAUGUAAAGUAAAUGCAUCACAAUGUAGAGGGAAAUCAUACGAAUCCAAAGCCGCUAGCCACACAUCGAUCGGAGUCCCCACGCGCCCACACGCAUCGCCUGAGUGCGCCGCGCGUGGAGCUCACGCGCAGCGCGCGUUUGACGCCCAAGCGGCGCGUGGCCAUGCGUGGCCGCUAACCGUCUUGCUCAUCUCGUCAAGCCCAGUCCAAAUUUGUGAUUUAAUUUUAUUUUUAUUGAACAAAAAAUCUUGAAAAUCACAAAUUAUGGCAAAAACUUUAUGCGUUCAAGUUCUAGGGUUACGGUUGCUCUGAUAUCACAUGUUGGACGCAAAUUGCGCAACCACAAGAUCUCCAUAACUAGAACAAGAACAUACAUAAUUGAGUAGAAAGAUUAAUGCACCUGUUUUGAGAUCCAUCGAACAUAAAGCAGAAGCAGAAAAAGGCUUACCCACAUAUCAAGGGGAUCCAUGCAUCAAGUCGUUCUCCUCUAUUGCUCUUCGUAUCACUGGCUCAAUUAGGCGGCCCCCCUCACAUGUAGCAUUAGGUAAACACCCCUUAGGUGAUGAUACAGGUGAGAAUUAGGAUUAGAGGAGAGACUUGAGCACUUAUUUAUAGAGUUUCCAGCCAGUCCCCCUCAUUACGGGCCAGGCUCAACUUGGCCCACACUAGUCAACUCAUAUUAGACUAAUUAAGAAACCUUCUAUCUCACUUUAGACCAACCAUGUUUUACGGUAACCGUAAAAACAGUAAAUUACAAUAUCAAUUAAUUUAGUCCACAUUAGGAAAACCCUUAAAGGGUGAAGAUGCAUCAUGGUUGAGCAUAUUAGUGAAUUCAAUUAGAGAUUGAAUUUGCUAAUAAUGUAUGUGCUUUGAUUCUAUUAUCAUAAUUGCUUGAGAGUUGGAAUACUAUAAUUCCUCUAUGUAUAUAGUAAAAUUAUAUAUGCUCGUUGAAAGGCGCAAUUUUAGUGCAAGUACGCUUAUUUUUAUUUUCCAUUUUGUGUGUGCGUCGUUUUCCUUUUACUUUCAAUUUCUACUAGUCCUGCAAAUUGGGUUGACAGUUGAAACACCGAGUUCGAUACGAUUUUCACGUUUCGUAUGCGUAUAGACCUAAUACUACGGAGAAAAAGGGGAUAUCGACAGAGACCCUUGAUAGUGUUAUUUACGUGAAAGAAGGGACUGAAAUAUCAUGUAUUGUACGCAUUAUUUCAUUACACACUCUGUUACUUCCUCGUAUCUGCUUGGGAUGCUUCCUUGAUGAUAAAAAGAUCAAAGCUCCAAAGGUAGACGACGCCAAUUUAAGCAGACGAGCGCGACUUUUCCCACUGUCGUGGCCAGAACUUUGUCCUCAUCUUUUCUCACGGGAAAAGACCGGGAGCAUUAUCAAAAUGAAUUAAAAUGAUUUAUCACGGGUGGACUUGGACUUUUGAUGGCCCCACUCUCGUAUUCCUACUACUUUUCUUCUCCUUUAAAAAAAAAAAAAAACCAUUUUCCACGACAAGAACGCCUUUUUAAAUGGCGAAAUCAUUCAAUAAAUUUAGACUACGAUGACCAAGACGUCUUUUCUUCUCUCUCGACGAAUGAAAUGGCUGGGCAUCUUUUCGAUCUACAAAGGUGAAACCAAAAAUCAGUUUAUUAAAGCAAAAGUGGUUUCCUCUUGACUUGUUUAAAAGUAGUGGGUGUGCGUGUACCACGGCCUCUCCCCCAUUAUUGAAGCGGAAUUCAUUUUUAUUGUUCUUAGUCCAACGCUGUUCGUGCUCAAGCAAUCAAUAAAAGCACUUCGGAAUGCUAUUUUGGCCCCCCAAAAGAGGAAAAAAGACGUAUGUGAAUCAUGAGAGAAGUCUUUUGCUUCCACAAUGAAAGAGAUUCCGCCCAUCAUGCACUAGAAUUGAAGAAAGCUAAAUGCGAUUCUUGCUUUAAACCGGUCUUAUUAAUUCGCUACUGCUCUUGAUCAUGCUACAAAAAGUAUGCGGAACUAUUGGCACAGUUUUAUUUUUUUAUUUUCAGUAAAAAUAAAUAUAACAAACUAUUUAUGGUACCGACGAGAGGAGACAGACAAUAGAGCCGAUUGUUUUUGGAAAAAAAAAAAACAGUUAGGUCCAAAGAAAUUGCUAGACCAAUAUCCAAAAUAUGUUCAGUCAGAAAAAAGUUUAUGCAUUUUUAACAUGCGUAGUCUUCCCCAAAGGAAGGACAGUACCAAUGGGUCGUGUGAAUAUCUAAUUGGCUUUAGUAUCUGGAAUUUGCUGGUUCAUCUUCAUACAUAAGAAGAGAAUUUGAAACGCUGAGCGAGUUCGAUAUGAUUUUCACGUUCUGCCUAAACCUAUGGAGAAAAGGAACAGGGUUCAAGUCCCAUAAUUCUAUUCAUUAAAUGAAAGAAGGGAAGAAUUUUCCGUGUGAUGUACUUGCAGAUGUAUUUUUGGAUCAUGCAUCUGUUCAUAACUUGAGAUAUGCUCGAGCUUGAUUACUUUAAUAAAGUAGACUCCAUCAUGUUUCUGAAACUGAAAUCAAAUCGCAGCUCUUUUCGGCACCGAAAACUAAUCGGCGAAUUGAGCUGGCCGAAGGUUGAUACAAACAGGACGCUUGCUUCAUAAGAGUACGAGCGCAACCCUAUGGUAUUCCUCACGAUGAGCUACAACACUGUCAAGAUAAAUGAGGGAAACCAAUUUCCAAUUUGUUGACUACUCAGAAAUAGCAUGUUCCCCCAACUUGUUGUCUAGGCCACGAGGUUUCUUCUCUCGUCCUCUACUCAGCAAAGAGAUUGGGUUGUGUCUCAUAAAGAGUUCAACAAAGACCCCUGCAAAAUUGUACACAUUAUUAGGAUUCCGCACACAAUCACAAGAAAAUAGAAAAAAAAAAGAAAAAAAAAAGAAAAAAAAAGGAGUAAAGCAAGAAAGAAAAUUCGAGACACAAGAUUUAUGCGGGUUUGCUCUAAACUAGGGCGAUGUCCAUAGAAUUCUGUUCUAAUUAGCAUAUUACACAUUUCUGUUACAUUUCUCAAUUACAAGAGAAAGAGCACAACUCCCAUGCUAUCUUGUCAAUAGGGAGUACAAACUAGCCUAACACAUAUAUCUUUUUGUUGGUGAAUUGAUGCCUUUGGAAAUAAUCACAGGCCUGUUCAUGUGUAGCUAGAGAUUCUUGUGGGGGGAGGAUGCUAGAAAGGACCGCCUUCACUAUGGUUCCCGAUGUGAAUGGUUGCAAAUCUGAAAAUGUUGCUACAUGUCGGUCCACAUGAUAAGAUUUCAUUGAUCAUAAAAAUGCAAGGCUUGAGCAUGUCUAAGUCCCAUCAAUGCGGAACCAAUUUGCACGUAAACAAAUGAGGGAAGACCGGCAUGGUGGGAUCCAAUGGAUGACUUGUUGAUAGCGGCCCUUGUGGUCUUCAAUAACGUUAUCACCUGUGAACAUUUAUCAGGACAGGCCGUUGACUUAGGGUGCGCAUGAGAACAUUUCUUGGUUUCAGAAAUUGUUCUUUUCUAUUUCUUUUCAGAAAUAGUUCUUUUCUAUUUCUAUUCUGGGGAACAAUUUCUAUGUAAAAAAACCCGUUUGAUAACUACACAAAAUUUUUACUCUAGAAAUAGAAAAAGAAUAGAAAUGCGUUUGGUAAAAAACAGUUUCUUUGUUAUAUUUAUUUGUUUUUUUUUUUUAUUUUUGCUGGUAGACCGCCGGACGCCGCCGCCGCCGCACGUCCCUGGCGGUCGACGGCGGCUGAUGGGCCGUGCGGCGGCAAUCGGCGGCGGCAGUCGGCCGGCGGCGGUCGACCGGCGGGGACGUGCGGCGGCGGCGGCGUCCGGCGGCGUCUGGCGACAACCGGCGGGGGCGGCGUCUGGCGGCGUCUGGCGACGACCGGCGGCGGCGGUCGGUCGGCCUCCGGCGGCGACGGCAGCAACGGUCGCCCGGCGGCGACCAGCGGCGGCGAAGGUCGGUCAGCCUCCGGCGACCGACGGCGGCUUCCGGCGGCGACCGGCGGCGGCGUCCGACGGCGACCGGCGGCGACCGGCGGCGGCGUUCGACGGCGACCGGCGGCGACUGACGGCGGCGUCGGUCGGUCGGCCUCCGGCGACCAGCGGCGGCGGCGGUCGGCCUCCGGCGGCGGGAGCGGCGGUCAGCCGGCGGGGGCGGUGGUCGGUCGGCCGGCGGCGGCGGCGGGCGGCGGCGAGCAACGGUCACAGCGGUCAAUGGCAGUCAACAAGAGAAGAAUAAAAGAAAAAAAAAAUUAACUUAUUUCUUAAACUUGUUCCCGGGAACAAGAAGCAACUUUUUUUUACUUCUCAUUUCUAUUCCAAAACCAUUCCCGGGCUAACUUUUUGUUCCCGGGAACAAAAAACUAACUUGCCGUUAUCAAACAGGUUUCUAUUCUUUUUUUGUUCCGGGGAAGAGAAGAAUAGAAAUUUUUGGGCUGGGGAAGGUUACCAUGCAGACCCUUAAAGUCUCCGAUGACGAUAGAAUAGAGAGACCAUCGAUCCUUUUCUAGCUGUUAUGCAGAAGAUGACUUUCCUUGGCCCACAAGCUUCUAGUUGGCAGGCCAUCAUUAAGCUUGGCUACGUCAUUGGUCUUGUGUCGACCUAUCUUCCACGGCAUCAAAAGUUAUCACUGCUCCAUCAUCAAAGCGCUGACGAACUUGUGCUCUUAGGCACUGCUACCUCCCGUGGACAACAUUAUGGACUCCUGAUGCGUCCGAUGGGCUAUAUCUAGGGUCUUAGAUGGUGCUGAGUAACUGUAACUCACAUGUAAUCUCUUGUAGUGGAUGCUUGGCUACUCGACCCUUUCAUUUUUGUGAUAAUCAUUCACGGUCAUUUGUGUGAUAAUCAUUUCGUGAUUUCUGAGUCAACACAAGCCGUUUCCCCAUUUGCUAUGAUAAGGGCUUGUGAAUUGGAAAUGAAGAUGCAUCUGGCAGAUGGCCUAUUGUGAAAAAUCCUCACAAAAACGAUCACAAUAGUGGGACGAGUACAAGGAAUGGAGUAGCGUGCCAUUUAGGCCUAGUAGAACGCGCAGCACAUCAGCGCCAUUUCCAGGAUUUUUAUCCAGCGAAACAAUACAAUUUUUUAUUAUAAGAUUCUGAUCGACAAUCGACAAUUCAUAUUUCAAUUUAAGAUUUCUAUUCCUGAUUAUGCCUUUUGGGCGGGAACGCUUUGCCAAUUCCUUUUCUCCGGCGUUUCUAGUACAGGCAAAUAAAAAUGGGCUUGAGGGGGCCCUAGCUGCAAGAGAGGCCCAAUUAGGUGGAUAGUGAACUAUUUUGGGGAGAAGAUUUAGGUUUCAGAGAAGCAUACUACGAGCAGUGCGACCAUUUUUAUGAAACUUUCCAUUAUAAAAAAUGUUCCACACUUAUGGAAAAUAAAGGAUUCACACAGAAAACAAUUGCCAAAAUUUAAAAAAAAAAAAUUGAAAAAAGAGAAGACAAUAUUGGCCAUGAUCCCACUUUCUCACUUGUAGUUUUGGAGGUGAUUAUUAAAUAAACAUAGAAUCUGUAAUCAAUUGAAUAGAAUAGUGGAUAAAAUAUUGAAAAAAUCACAAUUAUUGAUAUUUUUCAGCGAACAUAUUUAAUGCGCAUGUGAAAAUACAAUCAUCUAUAUAGAAAAGUUCUUACUCAAAGAAAUUGGUAUGUGUGAAGUUCGAGACAAAAACAUAAGAAGUAUACAACUCAAGGAGCAUAUCUAAGGAGAUUUCAUCUUGUUGAACUACGAAAAAUCCAUAGUUAAAUUUCAAGAUUUUGUGCUCAAUUUAUAAUUCAAUGUUGAAGACAUAAAACUAAUUCAAUUUUGUGCUCAAUUUAUAUAUGAUUAAUUUUCACUAUAUUUGUUUACUAUUGAGAAUUGGCAAGUAACAUUCGCAAGGAGGGGGAUAGAUAAUAGUGUAACUACUAGGGUUCUUUGAUGUUGAUACAGGUAGUUCUAGUGGUGAGUUUCGAUACAUCAGAUAGUGAGGAUUGAAUGAUAUCUUGAUCUAAGCAGCAAGAGCAUCAGCAGCUAGCAACAAUCCUUCCAUGCUAUUGACAAUUUAGUGUGAUCCUCAGGGAAGAGUCGGGUAAGGCAUAUGCAAGAUCGCUUUCUUUUCCAAAAGGGAAACAUCUUUCUUGUUUUUUUUUUCCCCAAGCAAGUAACAAUCUAACUGAACCACGAAGGUUGGUGCGCCGUGUGACUAGUGUAAGUUCUACAACAAUCAAAUUGACAGCAAGUAUUCAAGGAUCUCAAGACGAACUAAAAUCACAGCAUCUUGCUCAAGUUAGAUGAUUGCAAAAUUGGCACAUACAUGCUAGGAUAAUGCCUAGCCAAUUCAAUGAUUGGUAUGAUUUCAUAGUUUAUUGAUCCCCAACAUCGAGAAAAAGUUCGUUACCAAUAAGCAAUAAAUAACUAACCAAAAUCCUCAUAUUAGUAAACUAACAAGUUUUCCUCCCUUCUCUCUUUUCUUUUUCUUUUGCUUCGAAGACUGAUUUCCAUGACAAACGCAACGACAUGACUCAUAAGAAUGAGAGGUUGGACUAAUCUUCACCAUGUUGCACUAGAAAAAAGUGGCUGCACUUCCAAAAAUAUAGUGACAUCCGCAUCGAUGUUUGACUUGCUAGAUUUAAAAGUAGUAGCGUAAGAUUUAGUUGCCUCACCAUCCUCUUGAUCUUGCUGAGUACUCGAAGGAUAUUGGAGCUUCCUUAUCCCCUCCAACUCCAUUGCCACUUCUUUCAUUGUAGGUGGGUUCCUUCCAUUCAAGUUCAAGUUUCUUUUCACAAGGUUAGUAUCUAAUUCAAUCUCUUCCUUCUUACCUUCUUUCCAAACUUGAGCAUCAACAAUGUUGAACAAGCAAUUCUCCUUCAUCGAAAUUAUGAAAUAGGUUGUGAGGCUUCUUACUUCUUGUUCCCUCAACGACGAGAUUGGCUUUUGUCCCGUUAAGAGUUCAACAAGGACAACUCCAAAGCUGUAGACAUCGCUUUUGUCUAUAAAUUGACUUGAUCAGAAAUACUUUGAAUCUAGGUAGUCAAAAGUCCCCUACACCAAUGUGGUCACAAGGGUUUGAUCGAGGGAAAUGGACAUAGAAGUGUCGAAAUCCGCCACUUUUGCUCGAUAUUUCUUAUCCAAGAGGAUAUUGGUGGACUUGAUGCCUCGAUGAUAUAUCAUAAUAGAGGCUACUGAACAUAAAUAGAAUAAGACUCCAGUAAUUUUAGUAAUUCAUAGGCAUGUGUCCCACAAUACGAGAAACUUGGCAUUUGGGUCAUCAUAUAUUGGUAUAGAGUUCUAUUUGGUGUGAACUCAUAUACUAAAAGUGGGAAUUCCGUCUCCAAGCAACACUGCAAUAACUUGACCACAUUUCUAUAGUUAAUUUGUGAGAGAAUUACGACUUCAUUUAUGGACUGUUCGACUUUUCCUUCGUUUAAAACUUUUGAUUUUUUAAUAGCAACUAUUUUUCCAUCGGUUGACAUUCCUUUGUAAACAAUACUUUGUCCCCCUUGAUCGAGAAUCCUAUUGUAGUUGAAAUUGUCAAUGGCCUUCUCUAAAUCCUCAGCAUUGAACAAUUUGCUUUUCUCAACGUUGUCUUCUGGGAAAGAUAGCUCACUUUUCAACAAAAAGCCACCAUUGUGUUUGAAAUACUUAUUUUCUCUUCUUGAUGUAUCUGUACAACCUCCAUAAGAAAAGACACAAAAGUAGUGCCCCAAGGCUUGCCCUAGCCCCUGCAUUGUAAAAGUUUAAGGUGCAUAAGUGAGAAAAUUGUACUUGCUUGUCAAAAAAUCUAUGAAAGGCACUUAUCAUCAAAGUGAAUCUAAUUAAAAGGAAAACAUAUAGGAGUGAUUAACCUAAAUCUCCUUUCAUGCGGAUUUUCUCAACAACCAUGAAAAAAUAAUUCGUCUUCUGUUUAAGUUCCAUCCCUAAAAAAUUUUAUUAAUAUAUCUGCACCGUACAAUUGAUCUCCACCUAGCAAGGAAUUUAGGAAACCACUGAUGAAAGUGAAAUAGUUCAUAGCAGCAUUCAUCUUUACUAUCAUUGUAAUAAUUGCAAUUAAAAUAUACCAGAAUAAAUAGGAAUCCUGGAUAUCUUUAGAUAAAUAUGAAGCGGUGGCAUUAGAGAAGCUCAAGCAUUUUCUUCUCUAUUUAACUAUUAGUGUUAAAGAAAGUUUUGAGGUUGUUUUAAUAGAUACUAUUAAUUGGAACUUACCUAUAAUCAUCACAAGGCGAAUGCGCAAUCAUGUUAAAAUGAAGAGUAAGGUAAUACUUAUUUUGGACCUUUUGUGAAUGUAAUUCAUGCUACAUUGCACUUUUUCCACCAACGCUACCAGCAUGAAGCUGUGGGUUAAAAGAUCUACUUACCAAUAAGAAUGAAUUUAUCUGUCUUUCUACCAUCGAUGCAGUCAUAGGAGCCCGGUUUGUCCACACAAGUCCUGGUACACCUAUUUGAACCUUCACAUUCAUUAAUAUCUGAUGACAAAUAUAGAAUAAAGUAUAUUAGCAGUGAAACGCACCUCCUUGGCUAAAAGUAGCAAGACUAGUAGGUCGCAUUUUCUCACAAAUUGUUAAUUCCAUGGCUAAAAUAUGAUACAAAAAGACUGUCAUGUUCCCCUUCAUUUCCAGGGAAUUAUUAUCGAUAUAAUCGAUUUUGUUUGAAAUUGAAUUCACUUCGUAUAAUCUCAGACAGAAAAAUAGAAAAGGAAGGCUGAAAAGCAUGUAUCUGAUCAUUUAACAGUGUGAAUGCAUUAUUUUCAGAGAAAAAUGAUCUCGAACAGCGUGUGUACUAAGGUCGCAGGGUCUUGGGUGUCGUUGGCUGCGAAUCCCGGCACGAGCUCUGGUUCGGACGUCCCUGUUUCUCACCCCUCAGUUGGCGUAUACUAAAUGUUCGAUAAAUUGCCUAAAUUAGACGCCCGUUCUUGGUCUUCAUUGUGCCCGAAACUUGCUGUGUUUUUGUUUAUACUGAGCAUAAAUGAGUUGUCAACCUUGGUCAUUCAUUACUUGCUGAUUUUGGUCUGUCUCGGACAAGUUCGAAGCGUCCUCUUAGCUGACGCCCUCCGCACGUUUGAUGAAAUGUCUGACUGAAAUGUACGCGUUUAUUCUUAAGUCCUCCGUCCCUUUUAAGUGUUCGUGAUUGGUCAAAUGCGUUCCGGUAGAUUCCCACUGCUACCCUUUGUUUUGAAUGCCCUUGUGUCGUGGUUUAUUUUGGCGUGCAAUAUGUUUCCACGGGUGGCCGGUUCUCGGUCGGCAAAGACGGGGUAGUGGUGAUUGUGGCCACAUAUGACAGCCGCGUAGUGGCUCGGCGUGGCUUGUAUUGUGCCCGAACCACUCUGAUUAACACUUGGGUCCUUUUAGCUGUUUGCGUCGGUCAUUGUUCAUGGUCCUUGGGAAAGAACGAAGCGCGUGUCUGGGCAAGGAAAUGCUCAUGUGAAGCCGUGAGUGGGGAACUAUGUAACACGGACACUCUAUGGAAGCUUUCGUGUCAUGUCCAACACUCCGACACGUGGUCAACUCUCUCCGACACGCUCUAACACUCGAGUCCAGAAUUCCGACACACAAUUCCGAUACGCACGGGGUCAAUUUUAAACAUUUAUAAUACUUGAGAGGUCAAAAUAUAAAUAUACACAAAAGAAGUAAUAAAAGAAGUAAUAAAAUUGCUAUAAAUAUACAUGCACAGGGUCAAUAUUUUUUUUUUUUCAGUUUUGUUUUUUUAGAAUUGUUUUAGUUUUUAUAAAAGUCUUUUACUAUGAAAGAAGUAAUAAAAAAAAAUGCUAUAUAUGAUAAAUAAACAAAUUUGAAAAUAUCAUUUCAGCCUUUUUCUUUAAAUAAUAUUUUUUUCUCUAAGUUUUGUGUAUUAUUGUAACAAAUUAAAAUAAUGAAUGAUAUUAUUUAAUAUUUAAUAUAUAACGUGUCGGAACGUGUCGAAAUUCUCUAUUUUUAAAAAAUGACGUGUCGGCGUGUCGUGUCGUGUCAUGUCGCGUGUCGCGUGUCCGUGUUGGUGCUACAUAAGUGGGGAGUGGGAAUUGGCUAGUGGGCUUGUGUUGUUAGGGGUCUGUUGGGCUCAAAAAGAUUUGGAUCUUGGUUUGAUUUAAAAAAAAAAAAAAACUUGGGUUCUUUUGGGCGUAAAGAGAGCUUACCUGUAGUGGGCUUAAGAAGAGAGAAAAGAGUUGGGCUGGUUUGGGGGUUUCCUUGCUUUGGGUUGGCCUUCCUUAUUAUUCCUCCUCGGAUGGGCCUCAUUUUGGGAGGGACCGGACUGGGCCUGAUAUGCAGGCAGAGUACGGCCGCGGGUUGGGCGACCCGGGUUUUUUUUUUUAUAUAAUACAAUAUUACUAUUUAAAUAUUUAAAAAAUUAACAAUAAAAAUAUUCCAAUAAAAAUAUUUCCAAAAAAUCAGGAAAAGCUUAAGAAUAGUCUUCGGAUGGUUUUUCCUUGAAGUAUUUGAAAAUCCUUAAAAGAAAACAAAAAAUAAAUUGUGUUUAAAUUCUUAAAAGCAAAUGUCGGAUUGCUAUUUGCACAUUUUCUUUAUUCCAAUUGCACCUUUAUAAUGCAUGGAUUGCUAUUUCUUUAGCUUGGUUAGGAAUGGAAUUCUAGGACUCGUGAUUAGUAUAAAAUGCUGAACAAAUGCUUUGCUUGAUGUUUAAACAAGUCUAGGUAUCGAAAGGAUAUUGAUUGAUUAAAUGGUGCAAUCAGAUCCUCGAUCCUAAUUUUUAUAGUUGCGUAAGAGUAAAAUAUUUCUCUCAAUAUUUUAUUUGAGUUUCCAAUUGACCCAUCAAAAACCAACUAAUUGUAAAUUCUUAAUGUAAAUGACUUGUAGGUUCAAAUUAGUGGGUUUGGGAGAGCUUAGACUAAGUCUAGCCUUGGUGCUAGCCAUUAACCUCCAUGCUUGCAGGAGGGCUUCAAAGAGGUCUCGAUAAUACUUAACUUAAACACCUAUAUUGAACUAGAGAAAAUUUGAAAAGGGAACUAUUCAAAUACCCUUUUCUUACAACACUACCAACAAGGAAAUAGCUUAAACAAACAGUUUACAAUUGACCAAUAAAUGGGCAAGUCUCCCUUACUUGUUAAGGUUAAGAGGGAUGGGUAAAGACCAAUUUUGAUGCAACUUGAAUAAUCAAGUCAUUCGCCUCUGCACGUAUAGCUAGAAAUUGUUGUGGAAAUGAUGGUAGAAAUUACUAUCUUCACCAUGAUUCAUAAUGUGCGAAUGGCUGCACAUCUGAAAAUGUAGUUGCAUCUGUGUCCACAAAAGAUUUGCUAGAUGUGAAACGAGAGACACGAGAUUUAGCGGCCUCCAUCUUUUCUUGAUUUUGUUGGAAGCUCGAAGAGCUUUGGAGCUUCUUGAUUCCCUCCAACUCCAUUACCACUUCUUUCAUUGUAGGCCGGUUCCUCCCAAUCAAGCUCAAGCACCUUCUUGUGAGGUUAGCAACGGCUGCAAUCUCUUCUUUCUUGCCUUCCUCCAUGACCCGAGUGUCAAUAAUAUCGAACAAACAUUUUCGCUCCAUUGAAAUUACAAAAUAGGCUGCGAGGCCCUUUUCUUCUUCUUCCCUAAGCCAAGAGAUCGGUAUUUGCCCUGUUAAGAGUUCAGUGAGGACCACUCCAAAACUGUACACAUCACUUUUAUCUGUGAAAUGACUUGUUUUGAAGUACUCCGGAUCCAAGUAUCCAAAAGUCCCUCGCACCAAUGUGGUUACAUGAGUUUGGUCGAGGGAUACGAACUUGGGUGUACCGAAAUUUGCAACUUUAGCAUGAUAUUUCUCGUCCAAAAGGAUGUUGGUGGACUUGAUGUCACGAUGAUAGAUGGGUAUAGAAGCUGCUGAAUUCAAGUAAAAUAAGGCUCCAGCGAUUUCGGUUGCAAUUCGUAGGCGUGUGUCCCAUGACAUGAGAAGAUCUUCAUUCAGGUCAUGUAGAUACUUGUACAGAGUCCGAUUUGGUAUGAACUCAUAUACUAAAAGUGGGAUAUCUGUUUCCACGCAAUAGCCCAUUAGCUUAACCACAUUCCUAUGAUCAACUUGCGAGAGAAUGAUGACCUCAUUGAUGAACUCUUCAACCUUUUCCUUGUCUAUUAGUUUUGAUUUCUUAACUGUAACUAUUUUUCCAUCAGUCAGCAUUCCCUUGUAAAACAACGCCUUGUCCACCUUGGCCGAGUAUCCUAUUCUCGUUGAAAUGGUCAGUGGCCUUCUCUAAAUUCUUGAAACUGAAUAAUUUGCUUUUCGCAACGUUACCUUGAGGUGAUGAUGAUAGAUGUUUUUGCAAUAAGGUGCCCCACUGCGUUUUAAAGUACUUCUUUUUUCGCUUAAUUUCCUUUUUUUUCUUGAUGACUCCGUAUAACCACCGAGAGAGAAGCAACACUUGCGCUAAUCGUCCAACGCCCGCUCCAAGGCCUGCAGUUCGGAAAUUUGGCAGAGGACAGAGUCAUAAAAAGCACCUGCUCUUAAGAAUGUUUACUAUUGUGCUAAAUUAUCCACGAAGGAACAGAGUAAUUUGGAAGCAGGAGAACAAUAGAUCUCAUAUUAAAUUAUGGAUAUUCUUUCCAUUGGCCAAGUAGAAAUUUCUUCCCAUCAUAGGAAGCUACCAACUAUAUAUGUGACAAACUUAGAUUAUGCAUAGCUUGAAAAUUGAAUUCAAAACUUCGAUCAAAUCAUGACAUGUAGAAGAGUAGAGCAAUACGUAAAAAAAAUUUUAAAAAAAAAGUGAAUGGAUAGUCACGUUGGAAUGAAUGGUAAGGUAAAACUUACUUAUGUACCUUUUCUGAACAUAAUUUAGGCUAUGCUGUUCUAUUUCUAUCAAUACUCUACAGCAUGAAGCGGCUCAAAUUUCUAAUUUAAAAGAUCUACUUACCAGUAAAAACGAAUUUGGCUGUCUUUUUAGGGUCGUCGCAGAAAUAAGUACCCAAUUUGUUCACACAAGUCCCCGGGCACAUAUUUGAAUCCUCAUAUUAAGUAAAAUCGAAGGAAGAAGGCCACAAAGACCAAAUUUAUUUUUCUAGGUUCAUCAUACUCGAUUCAAUUCUAUGUUACGACCGUGGUUUUCCAUUUAUAUUUUUAUUCAAUCAAUUUUAGGAAAAAUGUUCAACACGGUAUAUAUUUUGACACUUAACCACUUUGUUUAUUUUGGGCCUUUUCUCUCUCUCUCUCUCUCUCUUAGCAUAUGUCAACCUUCGUAUAUCUUUCAUAAUUUUAUUUUCUUUUCAAAAAAUAGCAAAAAUAACCAAUGGUACUCUCCUAUGUUGACACCUACCCACCGUUAGUAAUUAUUUUUGACCUUAUAGUUCUUUUUUAGGCCAUGUUCAGCUAUCACAUUUUUUUUUCUUCAGAAUUUUUUUUCCUAAAAAAAAUUGCAAAUAUAAGCAUUAUCAAUGUUCUUUCCAUGAUUACGUUUUUCAUUCUAUAUGUUCUGUUUCAAAUACAUGGAUUCAUCCGAAAGAAAGUGUCAAUAUGCUAACAAAAAUCGUUGAAAUAAUCUGUUAUGGGACAUUCUACAAACAUAAAACAAUUGCAAAGAAAAAAAAAUGAUGGCCCAUUUUUUAUAUAAAAAGAAUCAUUAAAUAACUUGAAAAAUUCUAAAGAAAUUACUUUUGAGGAAAAUAUCCACAUUCGUUUUGAUGUUAUGGAUGAUAUCACACGUGUGUCAUGGUUGAUUUUGUAUAUAAAGGAAAUGAUCAAAUCUCAUGCAAACACUUUAAAAGAAUGGUUUUUUUUUUAAAAAUAAGUUAAUUGACUUUAAAAGAAUGGUUAAUACUUAAAAAAAUCAGAAAUUGAUAUAUCCGUGACAAAUUUACCCAAAACUAAUUUUUUAAGAACAAAAAACCCAAAACUUGUAUACCUUUGAUAAUUUACCCCAAAUCGAUACGCUUAUAACAAAUUUACCAUUUUUAGCUUUUGUUAAAUUUUAUUCUCAAAUUGCAAAGUUCGAUAAUAUAUGACAUUUGACUAAUGUAUCAAUUUGAGAUUUUACUUUUUGUUUAUCACAGUUGUACCAUUUUUGUGGUUUUUUUUUAAUAUUAAUCUAAUUUAAGGGAAAAUAUAUAUUUGUGACAAAUAUACCACUUUGAGGUUUUUGAUAGUUGAACAAAUUAUUUUUGGGUAAAUUUGCCACACGUGUACCUGUUUGAGACUUUUUGCAAUCAUUUGUGAUAUAUUUAUUACAGGUGUACCAAUUUAGGGUUUUUCAUGAUUCAAAAAUUAGUUUGAGGUAAAUUCAUCAUAAGUGUAUUAGUUUAUAAUUUUUUAGGGUAUUAAUCCUUAAAAGAGUUAAGUGUGAAAGAAAGACCCAGAGUCUAUUUUUAAGUGUUAUGAAGUAUAUAUAUAAAUUAGUGGGGAGAUAUUUUCUAUGCAUCCUGGCAUAGUAACAAAAAUAUCACCACAUCUCAUGAUCCUUUAAAAAUGUACAUUUAAAUUUUACAUCAUCUUACUUAAACUACUAAAAAAAAAUAAAAAUAAAAAUACUUUCAUUAUAGGACAACUGUACAAUAAUAUCAUCCAAUUGAUUUUCUCCCGAUAUACUUACAUCUAUCGAAAGAGAAGGCUAUAGAGAGAUUUUUAUUUUUAUUUUUAAUGUCAGACGGAACCAUUUAAUUUUCGCGUGGACCAAACCAUUAUUUGUCUUGACAAUUAAUGGUCAAAACAAAUUCAAGUUAAAAAUUGAGUUAAAGGGGGAAGAGUUCAAAAAUAAAGAAUCAAAUGACUGAAAUUGCAUCAUGCUAUAUAACAUUUUCGAGGUUGGGAGUUUUAUCAUUCGUAGACUCCAUGUUUAAUUUAUUUAGAUGACAGGAUGUAAUAUUCACGAAUCUGGGUGCACCAAAGAUGGAUAGUCCUCGUUCAUAAAAUAUGUGCCCAAAUCAAACAGCAAACUUGAAUUCCGAAGAGCUGUGUACGAACAACAAACAUCCGAUCCACUGAAAAUGCAUCAGGCUAUAUAACAUUUUCUAAAUAGUGGGAUUUAUCAUUUAUAGACUCCCUGUUGCCUUUCUUGAAAUGAUAGGACGGGAUAUUCCCGAAUCUGGGUGCACAAAAGAUGGAGUCCUUAUUCAUAAACAUGACAGAUUGAAGAAAUCUACUUACCUAUGAGGACAGACUUGAUUAUCUUGCUUCCAUCUACACAGUCAUAGGAACCUCGUCGAUUCACACACUUUCUUCUUCCAGGGCACGGAUCGGUUGGACCUUUGCAUUCAUCCACAUCUGAACAAAAGAUGACAAUCAAAAUUAGUAGAGCCUCGUCUCUUUAUUGGGCGUUUAGUAUUGCAUGCAAAGCUACUUCAGCCUCCAAAGAGCUACUUCUCCUUAUUAGUACAGUGUUUCGAUGUUGCGUUUCCAAUGAUUGGUGUGAUAAUAUGUAACUGGUCUUACCUUCGCAUCCAGAUUUAAUAUAGGGGUUACCGGUGAAGCCCCCACGGCAAGAACACUGCAGAAAUGGCAUCUCCUUGGGAUACGGUGAAUUGAAGCUGAAAUUGCUGCAAUGAUAGGAAUCGCCAUGUUUGUAAAUCUCUGAGGCAGCUCGGGAGGAUUUAGCUAUCCCCCAUUCUAGCACCACUGGGAAAUGCCCGCUCGCCUUCAACUUAUUGAAGUCCAUAGUUGAAGAUGUGAAUUUCGACCUAUCUCCCAAGAAGGCAUACUCGCAUUGAUUCAUUGGUGAAUCCUUGUCGGGAUUGAAAGUGAUGGUGAAAGCCUGAAGAUCCGGGGUAAUCGUGGUGUGGCAGCAUCCAUCGCUGCCCGAACAAGUCAUCUUCCUAACAACCUUGUCAUCUUUGCAGCUAGAUUUGCAUCCUAUGAUUGACUUUUGGUUAUCCAAUAGAACGGCUAUGUUGCAACCGACGGCGGCCAAGACGUUCCUUGACUCGGAGAAGAUGAAAUGGCUCCCGUUCAAGCUCACAGGCAUAGAGCUUCCAUUUCCCCUGCAUGUCCCAUUAUGCCAGUAGAUUAUUGGAAGACUGACGGUGAUCAUGCCGUUCUUUCCACCAUGGGAAUUGGGUAGCGAAAUGUUGAGCACCCUCAAGUUAAGCUUCUUCAGCAUUGGGACGGCACUGUCGGUGCUCUCGUCGCAGAAGAUCUCGUACCACUCAUCGAGGAAACACCCGGUACCAAACCCGAAGGGAAAGGGAAUGGUGACGGCACCACAUGUUGAGAGGCAAUUACCCUUCACCAGGGGAGCUGCUAGCGAGGCUUCUUCAUGAAGCAGAAGCGACCCUAGAAGCAGAAGAAUCUGAAACAUUCUUGUUCCUGCUUCUUUUCUCAGGAAAUCGUGGACCUGUUCGAGGAAUGAACAGUGGGUGCAGCUACUUAGGGCACGUUUAGUAAAGUUUCUGUUCAAAAAUUGUUCUAGGGAACAGAAAUAGAAAAAAUUAUUUCUGCUCCAGGGAACAAUUUUUGAACAGAAGAAGGCGUUUGGUAAAUUUGUUCCGGAAAUAAAAAAUGAACAGAAACACGUUUGGUAAAUUUGUAUUCUUUUUAUGUUUCUUUUAAUUUUUAAUUUUUAAUUUUUUCUUUCUUUUUUUCUUCUUUUGGCCGGCGGCCUCACCCAGCCACGGCGAGCUACGGCGAGGCCGAGCUCGGGCUCACCCAGAUCCGGCGAGCCCGAGCUCGCCCAGCCACCGGCGAGGCUCGGCCUCGCCGGGCCACCGCCAGGCCAGCGAGCCUCGCCGGUGGCUAGGCGAGCUCAGCCUCGCCGAGGGCCGGCGACGCUCCAGCAAGGUCGCCAGACCUCAACGGCAUCGCCGGCCCUCAACGGCUAGUCGCCAGCCAUGGCCGAGGCCGGCAACCGGCCAAAGAAGAAAGAAAAAGAAAAAAAAAAAAAAAAGAGAAGAAAAAGAGAGGAGAGAGAAAAUUUGUUCUUAAAAAUUGUUCAAGAAACAAAAAACAUGUUUUUCUUGUUUCUCGUUUUUGUUCCAAAUGUGUUUCUGAAAACAAAAAAAUAGAUUUGGAACAAAAACGCAAACAAACGCGUUUCUGUUCUCUUUUUGUUCCCUGAAACAAAAAAAACAGAAUUUUUGUUCAUAAACAGAAAAAAGAAAAAAGAAAAAAAAGAAAAAAAAAACGUUAACAAACAGGGCCUUAUAUGCCACUUUCUCCCGUUGUCGUGGACGCUAUCAUAUCCGAGGAUACUUUUUGAGCAGAAUUGUCAAAGCUUCAAAUCCAUCCUGGAAUAGAAAAUUCUCGACUCCUAUUUUGGCGGCCAACUGAGAAGGAUGUCUCCAUCGGUUCUGUUUUGAUGGCAAUCGCGACUAUUUCUUUUCAGUCUCAGCUGAAUAUGAAAAUAGAAGAAAUUAACUAGUAGACAUAAAGAUAUUAAAAGUGAUGAGAUUUGGAGAUAUUUUCUUUUGUUCCCCGUUGAAAUGUCUCCUUUCAUAGAGGCUCUAAGUCAUUUUAAGAUUGGACGUCUUUGAAGGCUCCUCCUUUGUCCUGGAUCCACAUGAGGACGAGGGUUGAAAGGUCCUGUGAAAUGGGAUAUUUCGGAAAUAUAUGUGCAUGUCCUCGUUGCGUGUCCCACGGUAUUAUUCUUUCGCCAACGAUGACAACAACGAAACCGAAGCGAUACACUGGUUCAUACCUAAUAAGUAACUGUAUAUACCGUCGCAACACUUUGGUGAACGUAAUAAAAAAUGUCACAUCAGCAUUGUUUUCCUUAUUAAAUUUUAAAUUUUUUUUUUUUUUUUUGGAUGUGGUCCUUGUCCAGGUUGAGUGAUGUGUAGGUGAAAACACCCCGUGCCACUCGCACAUAACUGUAUAUACUACAGCAACGUAUUGGUAAAAAAAGUAUAUAAAAAAAAAAAAGGUCAAGUCGGCAUUUUUUUUUCUCUUAUUAAAUUUUCAAGUUCUUUUUUUAUGCGAUGCACAUCCACGUCAUCUGUUUUUAGAACACAAUUAAAAAAAAUGAAGCACAUUAAUAAUGCUAUGUUGGCUAAAUUGGACAGAAUUAAUGAAGAAACUUCAUCAUAUCAACUUAAUAAAUUUUAGGACUUGAUUCAAUUAUUCAAAAGUUUUAAAAUUCGAUUAUACUUUUGUGAUGAGUUUCAUGGCUCGUGGUGCACUCGUCCAAAACAAAUAAGCACACUAACCUUGUAGACAACCUUUAUUUUUUUUCUUUUCUUUUUUGGAGAAUUGAAAUAUCCGAUAGCUCGAACUUCUUAGGUCUGGUCGAGCUCAUAUAUAAGCUUUUCUCCAUAUCAUUCCUCCAUGGAGAUAGGAUCUUUUAAUUCCAUGCACUUUUUUUUGAGUCACAACUAUUAUAAGAAUCAAUGGAAGGUCUCAAACUAUCAAGUGGGUGUUGGCAAUAUUUAAAAUUUGAAAAAUUGAACCUCUGAACGAAGAUCCAUAUGCAUUCAUGCCAUGACACAAGCACCCAUACAUUGCCAAAUAUGACGGACGAUAUUUCAUUUUAAAAAUGGUUGCGAUUAUAUUUAUACAUUUUUUUUUUUGGGUCGAAAACAGCCAUAUAUUAAGCACGCAUCAUAGAGGUUACAGCAAGUUCGGAUAGUACAAGAUCUUGCAAGAAAGAGGGUAUCCGAGAGACCCAAUUCGGAGGAAGUAAGGAGGCCCGAUGGGCCUUUACAACAGAGUCCGCUAAAGUAUUGGCUUCUCUAUGACAGUAAAUCAGAUGGAGGUUAGGGCACCGUAGCUUCAAUCUUAGGGUUUCGUCGGGGAUAGGUCGAAGCUCCCAUGGUCGUCGUUCAGGAUCACGAAGCGCAUCCACACAUACCAAGCUGUCUGAUUCCACAAUGAUCCGAUCCAUCUCAAGACCUCGCUGGAGAAGAAAUUUCAGCGCGGAGUUGAAGGCAAUAGCCUCGGCUUGCAAGGCAGAGGAAACACGAACAGAGGAGGCGAAUCCAUCGAUCAAAUGGCCCGUUGAGUCCCUGCACACCCCAGCCACCGAAGCUGCGUCGAACGGCGAGAGGUAAGAUGCAUCAAUGUUGAUUUUUGUGACUCCAGGAUCUGGUGGGCGCCAUCUGUGGUUGAAAAUACGCUGGUUUGAAACAGGGCACGAUUUGGCGGAAGCUAAAAUACGGCUGGAAUGGGUCUCCGCGAUUGCUAGCUGCACAACUCGUUCGGCAUCCGGCUGCUUAUGGCGGAAUAGGAAAUUAUUAUGGGUUUUCCAGAUGUGCCAGAGGAUGGUUGCAACCGUAGCCAAAUUCGGUAAGUCAGUCUUACUGUCAACAAACUGGAGUAGCCAGCCCUCAAUGCGAUGCACCUCAGUUGUAGAAAUGUUGAUUGCUAGAUCUGGAUGCAUCCAAACAUCAUAGGUCCAAGGACAGAAUAAGAAAAGAUGUUCUGGGGUUUCGGGUACAUGAUGAUCGCACAUAUAACAAGUAGGCUCUGUCAAAAUAUGUCUCUUAUAUAAGUUAUCUCUAGUCGCUAAUGCAUUGCUACAGAUAGACCAGAGAAAUGACCUUAUUUUGGGCAUAGUUCGGAUUUUCCAGAUAGCAGUCCAUAGUCUGCGGGGUGGCUGAAAAGAGGAUGAGGCCUAGUUAGAGAUAGUGUUGUUUUGCUAGCGUUUGAGCUGAUUGUAGCAAUUUUUGACUGUGAAAAGACCAUCCUGCUUUCCGAUCCAUAUUAGUUUAUCCUGGGUGCAGUUAGGGCGAAUAGGAAUGGAUAAUAUCUCCUCCACUCUUCGAUGAUCAAAGUGCUGAGUUAAAAGAGGAGUAUCCCAUGAGUUUGUAGCAGAUAAUAUAAAACCAGAAACCCAUACAGGUUCAUCCCUAGGAGCAGGACCUCCAAUAACACCACUAGGUAACCAGGGAUCCUCGCAAACUUUAAUCUGAGUGCCAUUACCAACAGACCAUAAAACUUUAUCAGCAAUAGAUUCCCGACCUAAUAAAAUGCUCUGCCAACCCCAAGAGGGUCUAGAACCUUUAGUAGCAUACCAGAAAUCCUUAUCUUGAAAAUAUACACCUUUGAGAAGCCUGGUAUAUAAUGAAUUUGGAUUCUGAACGAGACGCCGAGCUUGUUUACCCAGGAGAGCUCUAUUAAAAACCAUAAGGUCACGAAAUCCUAAUCCCCCUUCAUCUUUCCUUCUCUUAAUGCACUCCCAGCUCUUCCAAUGUAUGCCUUUCUUGCUAUAAUCUGACUGCCACCAGAAUUUAGCUACUUUUUGAUCUAUUGCUUUACAAAUAGCUGUAGGGAUUUUGAAAAUCGACAUGGUGUAAUGGGGUAUAGCUUGCACAACAGAUUUUAUAGUAUCUCAUUUAUCUAUCAUGAAACCUUGUGUUGCUCUCCCGAUGGAGCCAAACAUUGACUAGCCCACGUAAAUAUGAUGAUGUUUCAUUAGGAAAGUUGGGUCCAAGUCAGAAUGUUCAAUAGACACAAAAAAAUUGGUAUAAAAGAUAGUUAGGCUGAGUUGAAGUAGAUUGAUGGCUACAAAAGAAGGAAAUAUAAAAAUCAACAAAUUUGAUGGGAAGGACAUCGAUUUUCAAAAAUGCCUAUUACGGAUAAUAGGUACUCGAGGAAUCUAUGCUUAUCUUUGUCUAGGGAGAACCAGAGUGGAUUAACCAAGCAAGUUAGGAUUUAAUGGACACACAUGUGUUGUUUAUUACUCGAUUGUCACGUUGAACAUUGCGGAAGAGAAGACCCUACAAAUUUAAUGAAUGUCUGUCAAACAUAUAUGAGAAGCCUCUGCAAUCAACAAUGUCUACUCAAUAUGACUCCGUUUCACUUAAAAGAUGGGCAAAGAUGCAUCGUGGCUGAGCAUUUUAGUGAAUUCAAUUGGAGAUUGACUUCGCUAAUAAUGAAUGUGCUUGGAUUCUAUUAUCCUAGUUGCUUGAUAGUUGGAAUACUAUAAUUCCUCUAUGUAUAUAAUAAAGUUAUACAUGCUCAUUGAAUGGCGCAAUUUUCGUGCAAUUACGCUUAUUUUAUUUUGCAUUCUGUGUGUGCGUUGUUUUCCUUUUACUUUCAAUUUCUACUAGUUCUGCAAAUUGGGCUUGACAGUUGAAACACCGAGUUCGAUAUGAUUUUCACGUUUCGUAUGCGUAUAGACCUAAUACUACGGAGAAAAAGGGGAUAUCGACAGAGACCCUUAAUAGUGUUAUUUACGUGAAAGAAGGGGCUGAAAUUUCAUGUACUGUACGCAUUAUUUCAUUACACACUCUGUUACUUCCUGGUAUCUGAUUGGGAUGCUUCCUUGAUGAUAGAAAGAUCAAAGCUCCAAAGGCAGACGACGCCAAUUUAAGCAGCCGAGCGCGACUUUUCCCACUGUCGUGGCCAGAACUUGGUCCUCAUCUUUUCUCACGGGAAAAGACUGGGAGCAUUAUCAAGAUGAAUUAAAGUGAUUUAUCGCGGGUGGACUUGGACUUUUGAUGGCCCCACUCUCGUAUUCCUACUGCUUUUCUUCUCCUUUUAGAAAAAGAAAACCAUUUUCCACAACAAGAACGUCUUUUUAAAUGGUGAAAUCAUUCAAUAAAUUUAGACUACGACGACCAAGACGUCUUUUUCUUCUCUCUCGACGAAUGAAAUGGCUGGGCAUCUUUUCGAUCUACAAAGGUGAACCAAAAAUCACUUUAUUAAAGCAAAAGUGGUUUCCUCUUGACUUGUUUAAUAGUAGUGGGUGUGCGUGUACCACGGCCUCUCCCCCAUUAUUGAAGCGGAAUUCAUUUUUAUUGUUCUUAGUCCAACGCUGUUCGUGCUCAAGCAAUCAAUAAAAGCACUUCGGAAUGCUAUUUUGGCCCCCCAAAAAAGGAAAAAAGACGUAUGUGAAUCAUGAGAGAAGUCUUUUGCUUCCACAAUGAAAGAGAUUCCGCCCAUCGUGCACUAGAAUUGAAGAAAGCUAAAUGCGAUUCUUGCUUUAAACUGGUCUUAUUAAUUCGCUACUGCUCUUGAUCAUGCUACAAAAAGUAUGCUGAACUAUUGGCACAGUUUUAUUUUUUUUAUUUUCAGUAAAAAUAAAUAUAACAAACUAUUUAUGGUAUCGACGAGAGGAGACAGACAAUAGAGCCGAUUGUUUUGGGAAAAAAAAAACAGUUAGGUCCAACAAAUAUGUUCAGUCAGAAAAAGUUCAUGCAUUUUUAACAUGCAUAGUCUUCCCCAAAGGAAGGACAGUACCAAUGGGCCGUGUGAAUAUCUGUUGACAUCUAAAUUUUGGCGACCCAUUUAGACAUUUAUCAUAUUAAAAAAUUAGGGGUUAGUUUUAUCCCUAAAAAAAAAAUAUUAAUUGCAUAGCAUAUAAUUUUAAUUGCACUUAUUCAUUUGUUUAUCACUUUUGCAUUUGAUCAUCAGCAGAUGAGCUUCAAAUUUUAUGAAUUGACAAUUCGGUAUUUUCAUAAAUGAUUCAUAUUAUUCUUCUAAUAUUCGGUAAAUAUAUCAUAUAUUCACGUGAUUUAUACAUUAAGGCUCCGUUCGUUUCGCGGAAAAUAACUUCCAGGAAAAUAUUUUCCGAAUUUUCCGGUGUUCGGAUGGCGGAAAAUACACGGUCAACGGAAAAUAUUUUCCGUUGACUGGAAAAUCCUUCUUGAAAUCACGGAAAAUGAUUUCCUCUUUUGAAAAGAGGAAAUCAUUUUCCGCACCUCUCGCGAGCUCAUGCUGCUCUCUCCUUCCUUCAUCAGUUCACGUUCUCUCUCUCUUUCUUGCUCUCCCUGCUGCAAUGGCUUCGACAACGUCCUUCUCCGGGAUCAACCUCCGCCCUCCCCGGCCGCUCCUGCCCGCCUGCUCCGGUCGGGGCGCCGCCGCCGCCGCGCUCCGCUUCUCCGGCAGCUCGAAGCCGCUCUCCGCCUCGGGCGGGCGCGGCUCUGCCUAGCCCGAUCUGUGGAAGCCCAGCUCGCCCGAGCUCGGCGAGCUCGAGCCUCACCAGAUCGGGCGAGGCGAAGCCUCGCUGGCUUGGGGCGGAGCUCUGGCCUCACCCGAUCAAGGCGAGCCCGAGCUCCGCCGCCAGAUCCGGCGAGCUCGCGGCUCGCCAGACCUCUGGCGAGCUCGAGCAAGGCCCGAGCCCCGCCCAGCUCGCCGGAUCUGGCGACCGGACCUUGGUCGGCCGGAUCUGGCGACCAAAUCUUGGUCGGCUCGCCAUCUUCGGGCGUGCGGCGGCGGAGGAAGGAGGAAGGAGGAGGAAGAAGGAGGAGCGGCGGCGGAGGAAGGAGGAAGGAGGAGGAAGAAGGAGGAGCGGCGGCGGAGGAAGGAGGAAGGAGGAAGGAGGAGGAAGAAGGAGCGGCGGCGGAGGAAGGAGGAAGGAUGAAGGAGGAGGAAGAAGGAGGAGCAGCGGUGGAGGAAGGAGGAAGGAGGAGGAAGAAGGAGGAGCGGCGGCGGAGGAAGGAGGAGCGGCAGUGAAGGAAGGAGGAAGGAGGAGGAAGAAGGAGGAAGAAGAAUGAAAAGAAAAGGAAAAAAUUAAAAAAAAUUAAAAAAGAAAAAGAAAAAAAUUAGUUAACGAACGGUGGAAAAUGUUUUCCACUCAAAAUUUAAGAAUUAGCCGAACACCGGAAAAUAUAGCCAUUUUCCUGGAAAAUAACUUCCGGGAAAAUAUUUUCCGGAGAUGGUCAAUUUUCCGUGAAACGAACGGAGCCUAAGUGAUAUUUUAUUGAAGAUUGGAAGUUUAAGGAUGAAAUAUCAAGAGGGGAUAUCGCACGUGGGGCAUAUCUUGAGUGAUAUAUUCAAUGUUUCAAGACAAGAAAUACUUCAUGGUAGAUUUCAUAUGUGAGCUGGAAAAGAAAAGAAACAGGAAAUAAAGAAAAUUGGCUUACAAAUGCAUGAUACGCAAGCGUGAGGAAGGAAAAGGAAUUUCAAUAUAUAUCAUGGAUGCUCUCAGACAGGAUUUUGUGCGUCCAUUGGAGCCAAAAAAGAAAAGAAAGAAAUAAAUUAUAGGCCGGGAGAUUUCGGUCACGUCCUUGACCUAUAAAAGAUGGGCGCACUAUAGACAAAAGGGGGGAUGGCUACAAUUCUGAGAGCAUAGAGAGACACACGUGAGAAGGGACGAUUGAGAGAAGGCACGCUCGCGAGAGCUGAACAAGUCACGGUUGAAACCCCUUCACGGCCAUGAAUUUGUCAAGUUCGUGGCCGUGCCUCGACGCCGACCCUGCUGCCAAUCGUCCGUUGCAUUGACAACGGCCAGCUUUGUCACGAUCCUCUCCGAUGAUGAAGUAGCAGCGUGCACUCCCUCAUCUGGCGGUGAUCAACAAUCACGAAGUUUUGGAGGCCACACGUUGAUACCCGGCCAUAAUUGAAAAAAAAAGGAACGGCAGCCCAAGAGCGAGAGAAAGAAAACAGAGAGAGUCCUCUCUAGGCUGAACCAAGGAGACUCCACGUUGCGCAAGGUCCCUCGCCGCCGCAGUGCUGUGCCCGAGCCAUCUGAGUUGCCAUUGCUGCAACGUCCUUGCCGCUUCGCCCCUAGCAGUAACGACAGACUUGCUGCCGUGACCUCACUGCUACCACGAUAAGAUGUUGAUCUGGUGCUGCCCUCCUGCUGUCGUGACCAAGCCUUAAUGAGUCCCGCCCAACUGAGACGCUGAUGGAGCUGCUGCCUUCCUCGUGCUCGACUACCGUUUGAUUCGCUGCUCCCCCAACGAGACCGUGUUUUCUCCUUGCAUCAAUCACCCGAGCAGUCAUCACACCCUCGAUGAUCCACGAUCUGCCGCUUCUACUGUAUCGCGAACCAGCGUACCCUAGAGAUGCUUGAACCCCCGUCAGUCUGGUUUAGAGUGAACGAAGACUCCUGCGGAUUCCAUCUAGUGUGAAGUUUUCGCCGAGGUCCAGCAAGGCCAAAAAUCUCCCGAACAAUGUGAAUAUCUCGUGGUAUUUUUGCGGCCACCGCUUGCAAGCUUGAAGUCCACGGUCAAAAGAAUGAUUAUAAUCUCGUUUGAAUAAUUCUUAGUGGUGGAUUUGUUUCUCUUUUAAGUUUUGUCCAGAUUUUACUAUAACAUUGUGGGCUUUGUGAUUUUGUUCCAUGCAAGCAAAAGAACGGUUCCUUUUGGCGGUGAGAUCACGAAGAAUUCGGGUGCGUGGCGACUAUGGACAGUGCGGUCCACCGUGUAUACCGCCGACCGCUGACCACCUCACACCGAGUCCCAAUUGCUGGCCACCCACUGAGAAUGGCAAGCCACCACGGUUCGCGGUCCCAAACCGCGAGUUGCCCGUCGACGUUGAUGCCAAGCUCGAGCCAGCGUUGAUAAUCCCUUUAAGCCGAUCUGUUGAAAGUUUCUAUUUUCGCAGGUUCAUUGGCUGUGACCCACCCGCAUCGUUGCUCACCAACCUCCACCAUCGAGUGCCGCAACCCUUUCCCGGUCAUCUGUCAAGCGGAUUCCAUUCGGUUUAAAUUUGGUAACAUUAGUUGGAGAACUGGGUAAUUAUCUUAUCUAAAUUUCAUUUGGAUAUUCUAUUGCCUAAUGCAUGCCUUUCAGUAUCUUACGUGCACAUUUGAAUGAUAAGCAUACUUCCAGUUAGGAUUUAUUGCCUAAUUCGCAACCGCACACGGAUUUUUUAUUUCAUCUAUAAGGCUUUAGAUGGAAUAAUUAAUUACGCGGGAAUAAAAUUGAUAUAUUGAUCUUUAAGGCUUAAGAUCAAUUUAUCGAUUUUACUAGCGAAAUAUCAUCCCUUAAACUGGAUAAUGUGCGAUAUCUUUUAUGAUUUUGAAUGGUCUAUCUUGUCUUGAUUGCUUUAUUUAUCUUGAAAUAUGUUUGAGUUAGAAUAUUGCAUGUUUUAGGGUUAUUUGCAUAUUUAGGUUAAGCAUUCUAUUUAUCAUGAAUUUUCAAAAAAAAAUCAAAAAAAUCAAAAAUCAAAUCAAUCCAUUUAGGUUGCUAGAUUUUAAUUUGAAUUGCAUGUUUAACUAUUUGGCAAUUAUUAAUUUCGAAAAUUAAUAAAUAAAAAACAAAAACAAAAACAAAAAAAAAAACAAAAAUCAUCAUGCACUUGUCAUGUAGAAUUAGGGCAUAUUUUGUACGUCAUUGCAUAUUAGGGUUAAAUUGCACUUAGUUUAAUUUUAGAUAAUAUUUUUCUUAAUUUAUUAUAAGUUUAGGCAUUUUCUUAAAUAGAUUGCAUUUUAGGAUUAUUUGGGUUAAGAUAAUAUUUUAGUUUAGAUUAGGAUUUAGCCCAACCUUAUUCCUAAUACAAAUUGAAUAGGAUCUUAAUUUAAUUAGAUAAUUUUCACAUUUUUCUAAUUUCGAAUUUCAUAAAAAAUACAAAAAAUGUCUUAGAAUAAAUUAGUUUCAAUCUCUAAGAUAGAUUGCAUUCUUUUAAGGAAAAAGAAAAUAAAAGAUGUCAUGCGCAUGUCAUUAAGAUUAGAUUUAUGAAAUGCAUGCCAUUUAGUUACUGUUGCUAGGUCCAUUCAAUUAGUAAUUUCAUGUCAUUAGAAUUAGGUCAUUUAAUUAAUAUUGCAUUACAUAUUGCAUGAUUUCCAUUAAUUAAGUGAAAACAAAGAAAAGAAAUUGCGUGUUAAUUAGAAAUCAUAUUUAGGAUUGUCGAUGUGAAUUCUGAUUUAACAUUGCAGAUGCUUUCGUUGCUUUAAGGUAAGUUCCUGCAAUUUAUUCAUUGCUUUCCUUGAAUGUUAAAUUGGUGGUUUGCACACCCGCAUGAUCACAUCACAUGUUAAGGAAAUAAAUUUAAAAUCAAUCCAAACUGUUUGCCAAACAUUUUUCAAAAUAAAAAGAAAGGUACCGAAAGGGCAUUAGAGAAAUCUAGUGUAACCAAGUCCUCAUACCCAUAGUCUCUGGUUCGUAGGAGUAAAGUAAAUCUCCCGUUACUUUGCUUGGGUUUUUAAUCGACCUACCAAAAAAUAAAUUAGUGGCGACUCCUAAUUGAAAAUCAAUUACAUGUUAAGAACUUAAACCUAAGUCACGAAUUGGUAUGGGUUUGGGAGAGCCCGAGUUAAGUCUAGACUUAACAAUCCAUUAGCCAAAUCCUAGGUGGACCACCCGAAAAUUUGGUCGCGACAAUAUCUAAUUGGCUUUAGUAUCUGGAAUUUGCUGGUUCAACUUCAUACAUAAGAAGAGAAUUUGAAAUGCUGAGCGAGUUCGAUAUGAUUUUCACGUUCUGCCUAAACCUAUGGAGAAAAGGAACAGGGUUCGAGUCCCAUAAUCCUAUUCAUUAAAUGAAAGAAGGGAAGAAUUUUCCGUGUGAUGUACUUGCAGAUGUAUUUUUGGAUCAUGCAUCUGUUCAUAACUUGAGAUAUACUCGAGCUUGAUUACUUUAAUAAAGUAGACUCCAUCCUGUUCCUGAAACUGAAAUCAAUUUGCAGCUCUUUUCGGCACCGAAAACUAACCGGCGAAUUGAGCUGGCCAAAGGUUGAUACAAACAGGACGCUUGCUUCAUAAGAGUACGAGUGCAACUCUAUUGUAUUCCUCACCAUGAGUUACAACACUGUCAAGAUAAAUGAGGGAAACCAAUUUCCAAUUUGUUGACUAGUCAGAAAUAGCAUGUUCCCCCAACUUGUUGUCCAGGCCACGAGGUUUCUUCUCUCGUCCUCCACUCAGCAAAGAGAUUGGGUUGUGUCGCAUAAAGAGUUCAACAAGGACCCCUGCCAAAUUGUACACAUUAUUAGGAUUCGGCACACAACCACAAGAAAAAAGAAAAAAAAAAAAGAGUAAAGCGAGAAAGAAAAUUCGAGACACAAGAUUUAUGCGGGUUUACUCUAAACUAGGGUGAUGUCCAUAGAAUUCUGUUAUAAUUCGCAUAUUGCACCUUUUAGUUACAUUGCUCAAUUACAAGAGAAAGAGCACGACUCCCAUGCUAUCUUGUCAAUAGGGAGUACAAACUAGCCUAACACAUGUAUCUUUUUGUCAGUGAAUUGAUGUGUUUGGAAAUAAUCACAAGCCUGUUCAUGUGUUGCUAGAGAUUCUUGUUGGGGGAUGCUAAAAAGGACCGCCUUCACUGUCGUUCCCGCUGUGAAUUGCCGCAAAUCUGAAAAUGUUGCUACAUGUUGGUCCACAUGAUAAGAUUUCAUUGAUCAUAGAAAUGCAAGGCUUGAGCAUGUCAAGUCCCAUCAAUGCGGAACCAAUUUGCACGUAAACAAAUGAGGGAAGACCGGCAUGGUGGGAUCCAAUGGAUGACUUGUUGAUAGCGGCCCUUGUGGUCUUCAAUAACGUUAUCACCUGUGAACAUUUAUUAGGACAGGCCGUUGACUUAAAGUCUCCGAUGACGAUAGAAUAGAGAGACCAUCGAUCCUUUUCUAGCUGUUAUGCAGAAGAUGACUUUCCUUGGCCCACAAGCUUCUAGUUGGCAGGCCAUCAUUAAGCUUGGCUACGUCAUUGGUCUUGUGUCGACCUAUCUUCCACGGCAUCAAAAGUUAUCACUGCUCCAUCAUCAAGGCGCUGACGAACUUGUGCUCAUAGGCACUGCUACCUCCCGCGGACAACAUUAUGGACUCCUGAUGCGUCCGAUGGGCUAUAUCUAGGGUCUCAGAUGGUGCUGAGUAACUGUAACUCACAUGUAAUCUCUUGUAGUGGAUGCUUGGCUACUCGACCCUUUCAUUUUUGUGAUAAUCAUUCACGGUCAUUUGUGUGAUAAUCAUUUCGUGAUUUCUGAGUCAACACAAGCCGUUUCCCCAUUUGCUAUAUGAUAAGAGCUUGUGAAUUGGAAAUGAAGAUGCAUCUGGCAGAUGGCCUAUUGUGAAAAAUCCUCACAAAAAAUAUCACAAUAGUGGGACGAGUACAAGGAAUGGAGUAGCGUGCCAUUUAGGCCUAGUAGAACGCGCAGCACAUCAGCACCAUUUCCGGGAUUUUUAUCCAACGAAACAAUACAAUUUUUUAUCAUAAGAUUCUGAUCGACAAUUCAUAUUUCAAUUUAAGAUUUCUAUUCCUGAUUAUGCCUUUUGGGCAAGAACGCUUUGCCAAUUCCUUUUCUCCGGCGUUUCUAGUCCAGGCGAAUGGAUGUGGGCUUGAGGGGGCCCUGGCUGCAAGAGAGGCCCAAUUAUGUGGAUAGUGAACUAUUUUGGGGAGAAGAUUUAGGUUUCAGAGAAGCAUACUACGAACAAUGCGGCCAUUUAUGAAACUUUCCAUUAUAAAAAAAAAAAAUGUUCCAAACUUAUGGAAAAUAAAGGAUUCACACAGAUAGUAAUUGCCAAAAUUAGAAAAAAAAAAAUUGAAAAAAGAGAAGACAAUGUUGGCCAUGAUCCGACUUUCUCAGUUGUAGUUUUGGAGGUGAUUAUUAAAUAAACAUAGAAUUAUUGAAUAGAAAAGUGGAUAAAAUAUUGAAAAAAUCACAAUUCUUGAUAGUUUCCAGCAAACAUAUCUAAUGCACACGUGAAAAUACAAUCAUCUGUAUAGAAAAAUUCUUACUCAAAGAAAUUGGUAUGUGUGAAGUUCGAGACGAAAACAUAAGAAGUAUACAACUCAAGGAGCAUAUCUAAGGAGAUUUCAUCUUGUUGAAAAGCAGUGGUUGGGAAAGUUCGAACUACAAAAAAAUCUGUAGUUUAAAUUUCAUGAUUUUGUGCUCAAUUUAUAAUUCAAUGUUGAAGACAUAAAACUAAUUCAAUUUUGUGCUCAAUUUAUAUGCGAUUGAUUUUCAGUGUUUUUGUUUAUUAUUGAGAAUUGGCAAGUAACGUUUGCAAGGAGGGGGACAGAUAAUAGUGUAACUACUGGGGUUCUUUCAUGUUGAUACAGGUAGUUCAGGUGGUGAGUUUCAAUACAUUAGGUAGUGAGGAUUGAAUGAUAUCUUGAUCUAAGCAACCGGAGCAUCAACAGCCGACAACAAUCCUCCGUGCCAUCAGAGAGUUAGUGUGAUCCUCAGGGAAGAGUCGGGUAAGGCAAAUGCAAGAUCGUUUUCUUUUCCAGAAGGGGAACAUCUUUCUUGUUUUUUUUUCCCAAGCAAGUAACAAUCUAACUGAACCACGAAGGCUGGUGCGCCGUGUGACUAGUGUAAGUUCUACAACAAUCGAAUUGACAACAAGUAUUCGAGGAUCUCAAAGACAAACUAAAAUCACAGCAUCUUGCUCAAGCUAGAUGAUUGCAAAAUUGGCAUAUACACGCUAAGAUAAUGCCUAGCCAAUUCAAUGAUUGGUAUGAUUUCACAAUUUAUUGAUCCCCAACAUCAAGAAAAAGUUCUUUAUCAAUAAGCAAUAAAUAACUAACCAAAAUCCUCCUAUUAGUAAACUAACAAGUUUUCCUCCCUUCUCUCUUUUCUCUUUCUCUUGCUUCGAAGACCGAUUUCCAUGACAAACACAACAACAUGGCUCAUAAGAAUGAGAGGCAGGAUUGAUCUUCACCAUGUUGCACUAGGAAAAAGUGGCUGCACUUCCAAAAAUGUAAUGACAUCCACAUCGAUGUUUGACUUGCUAGAUUUAAAAGCAACAGCGUAAGAUUCAGUUGCCUCAUGGUCCUCUUGAUCUUGCUGAGUACUCAAAGGAUAUUGGAGCUUCCUUAUCCCCUCCAACUCCUUUGCCACUUUUUUCAUUGUAGGAAGGUUCCUUCCAUUCAAGUUCAAGCAUCUUUUCACAAGGUUAGCAUCUGAUUCAAUCUCUUCCUUCUUACCUUCUUUCCAAACUUGAGCAUCAACAAUGUUGAACAAGCAAUUCUCCUUCAUCGAAAUUAUGAAAUAGGUUGUGAGGCUUCUUCCUUCUUGUUCCCUCAACGACGAGAUUGGCCUUUGUCCCAUUAAGAGUUUAACAAGGACAACUCCAAGGUUGUAGACAUCGCUUUUGUCUAUAAAUUGACUUGAUUGGAAAUACUUUGAAUCUAGGUAGUCAAAAGUUCCCUACACCAAUGUGGUCACAUGGGUUUGAUCGAGCGAAACAGACUUAGAAGUGCCGAAAUCCGCCACUUUUGCUCGAUAUUUCUUAUCCAAGAGGAUAUCGGUGGACUUGAUGUCUCGAUGAUAUAUCAUAACAGAGGCUACUGAAUGUAAGUAGAAUAAGGCUCCAAUAAUUUUAGUGAUUGCACGUGUCCCACAAUAUGAGAAACUCGGCAUUUGGGUCAUCAGAUAUUGGUAUAGAGUUCCACUUGGUGUGAACUCAUAUUCUACAAGUGGGACUUCUGUCUCCAAGUAACACCCCAAUAACUUGACCACAUUUUUAUAGUAAAUUUGUGAGAGAAUUAGGACUUCAUUUAUGGACUAUUCGACUUUUCCUUCGUCUAAAACUUUUGAUUAAUAGCAACUAUUUUUCCAUCGGUUGACAUUCCAUUGUAAACAAUCCUUUGUCCCCCUUGAUCGAGAAUCCUAUUGUAGUUGAAAUUGUCAAUGGCCUUCUCUAAAUCCUCAGCAUUGAACAAUUUGCUUUUCUCAACGUUGCCUUCUGGGAAAGAUAGCUCACUUUUCAACAAAAAGCCACCAUUGUGUUUGAAAUACUUAUUUUCUCUUCUUGAUGUAUCUGUACAACCUCCAUAAGAAAAGACACAAAAGUAGUGCCCCAAGGCUUGCCCUAGCCCCUGCAUUGUAAAAGUUUAAGGUGCAUAAGUGAGAAAAUUGUACUUGCUUGUCAAAAAAUCUAUGAAAGGCACUUAUCAUCAAAGUGAAUCUAAUUAAAAGGAAAACAUAUAGGAGUGAUUAACCUAAAUCUCCUUUCAUGCGGAUUUUCUCAACAACCACGAAAAAAUAAUUCAUCUUCUGUUUAAGUUCCAUCCCUCAAAAUUUUUAUUUAUAUAUCUGCACCAUACAAUUGAUCUCCCUAGCAAGGAAUUUAGGAAACCACUGAUGAAAGUGAAAUAGUUCAUAGCAGCAUUCAUCUUUAAUUGUAAUAAUUGCAAUUCAAAUAUACCAUAAUAAAUAGGAAUCUUGGAUAUCUUUUGAUAAAUAUGAAGCAGUGGCAUUAGAGAAGCUCAAGCAUUUUCUUAUCUAUUGAAGUAUUAGUGUUAAAGAAAGUUUUGAGGUUGUUUUAAUAGAUACUAUUAAUUGGAACUUAUCUAUAACCAUCACAAGGAGAAUGCGCAAUCAUGUUAAAAUGAAGAGUACGGUAACACUUAUUUUGUACCUUUUGUGAAUCUAAUUCAUCCUACAUUGCACUCUUUCCAACCACACUAACAGCAUGAAGCUGUAGGUUAAAAGAUCUACUUACCGAUAAGAAUGAAUUUAUCUUUCUUUCUACCAUCGAUGCAGUAAUAGGAGCCCAAUUUGUCUACACAAGUCCUUGGGCACCUAUUUGAACCUUCACAUUCAUUAAUAUGUGAUGACAAAUAUAGAAUAGAGUAUAUUAGCAGUGAAACGCACCUCUUUGGCUAAAAGUAGCGAGACUAGUAGGUCGCAUUUUCUCACAAAUUGUUAAUUCCAUGGCUAAAAAUAUGAUACGAAAAGACUGUCAUGUUCCCCUUCAUUUCCAGGGAAUUAUUAUCAAUAUGAUCGAUUUUGUUUGAAAUUGAAUUCACUUCGUAUAAUCUCGAACAGAAAAAUAGAAAAGGAAAGCUUAAAAGCAUGUAUGUGAUCAUUUAACAGUGUGAAUGCAUUAUUUUCAGAGAAAAAUGAUCUCGAACAGCGUGUGUACUAAGGUCGCAGGGUCUUGGGUGUCGUUGGCUGCGAAUCCCGGCACGAGCUCUGGUUCGGACGUCCCUGAUUCUCGCCCCUCAGUUGGCGUAUACUAAAUGUUCGAUAAAUUGCCUAAAUUAGACGCCCGUUCUUGGUCUUCAUUGUGCCCGAAACUUGCUGUGUUUUUGUUUAUACUGAGCAUAAAUGAGUUGCCAACCUCGCUCAUUCAUUACUUGCUGAUUUUGGUCUGUCUCGGACAAGUUCGAAACGUCCUCUUAGCUGACGCCCUCCGCCUGUUUGAUGAAAUGUCUGACUGAAUGUACGCGUUUAUUCUUAAGUCCUCCGUCCGUUUUUAGUGUUCGUGAUUGGUCAAAUGCGUUCCGGUAGAUUCCCACUGCUACCCUUUGUUUUGAAUACCCUUGUGUCGUGGUUUAUUUUGGCAUGCAAUAUGUUUCCACGGGUGGCCGGUUCUCAGUCGGCGAAGACAAGGGGCAGUGGUGAUUUUGGCCACAUAUGACAGCCGCGUAGUGGCUCAGCGUGGCUUGUAUUGUGCCCGAACCACUCUGAUUAACACUUGGGUCCUUUUAGCUGUUUGCGUCGGUCAUUGUUCAUGGUCCUUGGGAAAGAACGAAGCGCGCGUCCGGCCAAGGAAAUGCUUCUGUGAAGCCGUGAGUGGGGAAGACGUGGGAAUUGGCUAGUGGGCUUGUGUUAAUAGGGGUCUGUUGGGCUCAAUAAGAUUUGGAUCUUGGUUUGAUUUAAAAAAAAAAAAACUUGGGUUCUUUUGGGCUUAAGGAGAGCUUACCUGUAGUGGGCUUAAGAAACGAGAAAAUAGUUGGGCUGGUUUGGGGGUUUCCUUGCUUUGGGUUGGCCUUCCUUAUUAUUCCUCCUCGGAUGGGCCUCAUUUUGCGAGGGACCGGACUGGGCCUGAUAUGCAGGCCGAGUCCGGCCGCGGGUUGGGCGACCCGGGUUUUUUUAUUAUUAUAUAUAUACUACAAUAUUACUAUUUAAAUAUUAAAAAAAUUAACGAUAAAAAAAGAAAAUUCCAAUAGAAAUUUUUCCAAAAAAUCAGAAAAAGCUUAAAAAUAGUCUUUGGAUGGUUUGUCCUUGAAGUAUUUCAAAAUCCUUAAAAGAAAACAAAAAAGAAAUUGUGUUUAAAUUCUUAAAAGCAAAUGUCGGAUUGCUAUUUGCACAUUUUCUUUAUUCCGGUUGCACCUUUAUUUCUUUAGCUUGGUUAGGAAUGGAAUUGUAGGACUCGUGAUUAGUAUAAAAUGUUGAACGAAUGCUUUGCUUAAUGUUUAAACAAGACUAGAUAUCAAAAGGAUAUUGAUUGAUUAAAUUGUGCAAUCUAAUCAUCAAUCCUAAUUUUUCUAGUUGCAUAAGAGUAAAAUAUUUCUCCUAAUAUUUUAUUUGAGUUUCCAAUUGACCCAUCAAAAACCAACUAAUUGUAAAUUAUUAAUGUAAAUGACUUGUAGGUUCAAAUUAGUGGGUUUGGGAGAGCUCAGACUGAGCCUAAACUUGCUACUAGCCAUUAAUCUCCAUGCCUACAGGAGGGCUUCAAAGAGGUCUCGAUAGUACUUAACUUAAACACCUAUACUGAACUAGAAAAAAAUUUGAAAAGGGAACUAUUCAAAUACCCUUUUCUUACAACACUACCAACAAGGAAAUAGCUCAAACAAACGGUCUACAAUUGACCAAUCCAUGGGCAUGUUCCCCAUUACUUGUUAAGGUUAAGAGGGAUGGGUAAAGAUCAACUUUGAUGCAACUUGUAGAAUCGAGUCAUUCGCCUCUACAUGUAUAGCUAGAAAUUGCUGCGAAAAUGAUGGUAGAAAUUACUAUCUUCACCAUGAUUCACAAUGUGCGAAUGGCUGCACAUCUGAAAAUGUAGUUGCAUCAAUGUCCACUAAAGAUUUGCUAGAUGUGAAACGAGAGACACGAGAUUCAGCGGCCUCCAUCUUUUCUUGAUUUUGUUGGAAGCUCAAAGAGCUUUGGAGCUUCUUGAUUCCCUCCAACUCCAUUACCACUUCUUUCAUUGUCGGCCGGUUCCUCCCAAUCAAGCUCAAGCACUUUCUUGUGAGGUUAGCAACGGCUGCAAUCUCUUCUUUCUUGCCUUCCUCCAUAAUUCGAGUGUCAAUAAUAUCGAACAAACAUUUUCGCUCCAUUGAAAUUACAAAAAAGGCCGCGAGGCCCUUUUCUUCUUCUUCCCUAAGCCAAGAGAUUGGCAUUUGCCCUGUUAAGAGUUCAGUGAGGACCACUCCAAAGCUGUACACAUCACUUUUGACUGUGAAAUGACUUGUUUUGAAGUACUCUGGAUCCAAGUAUCCAAAAGUCCCUCGCACCAAUGUGGUUACAUGAGUUUGGUCGAGGGAUACGGACUUGGAUGUACCGAAAUCUGCAACUUUAGCAUGAUAUUUCUCAUCCAAAAGGAUGUUGGUGGACUUGAUGUCACGAUGAUAGAUGGGUAUAGAAGCUGCUGAAUGCAAGUAACAUAAGGCUCCAGCGAUUUCGGUUGCAAUUCGUAGGCGUGUGUCCCAUGACAUGAGAAGAUCUUCAUUCAAGUCAUGUAGAUACUUGUACAGAGUCCCAUUUGGUAUGAACUCAUAUACUAAAAGUGGGAUAUCUAUUUCCACGCAACAGCCCAUUAGCUUAACCACAUUCCUAUGAUCAAUUUGCGAGAGAAUGAUGAUCUCAUUGAUGAACUCUUCAACCUUUUCCUUGUCUAUUAGUUUCGAUUUCUUAACCGCGACUAUUUUUCCAUCAGUCAGCAUUCCCUUGUAAACAACCCCUUGUCCACCUUGGCCAAGUAUCCUAUUCUCGUUGAAGCGGUCAGUGGCCUUCUCUAAAUCCUUGAAACUAAAUAAUUUGCUUUUCACAACGUUGCCUUCAGGCGAUGAAGAUAGAUGCCUUUGCAACAAGGUACCCCACUGCGUUUUAAAGUACUUCUUUUUUCGCUUAAUUUCCUUUUUUUUCUUGAUGACUCCGUAUAACCACCGAGAGAGAAGCAACACUUGCGCUGAUCCUCCAACGCCCGCUCCAAGGCCUGCAGUCCGGAAAUUUGGCAGAGGACAGAGUCAUAAAAAGCACCUGCUCUUAAGAAUGUUUACUGUUGUGCUGAAUUAUCCACGAAGGAACAGAGUAAUUUGGAAGCAGGAGAACAAUAGAUCUCACAUUAAGUUAUGGAUAUUCUUUCCAUUGGCCACGUAUAAAUUUCUUCCCAUCAUAGGAGGCUACCAACUAUAUAUGUGAAAAACUUAGAUUAUGCAUAGCUUGAAAAUUGAAUUCAAAACUUCGAUCAAAUCAUGACAUGUAGAAGAAUAGAGGGAUACAUAAAAAAAAAUAAUAAUAAUAAUAAAAAGUGAAUGGACAGUCAAGUUAGAAUGAAUGGUAAGGUAAAACUUACUUAUGUACCUUUUCCGAACAUAAUUUAGGCUAUGCUGUUCUAUUUCUAUCAAUACUCUACAGCAUGAAGCGGCUCAAAUUUCUAAUUUAAAAGUAAAAACGAAUUUGGCUGUCUUUUUAGGGUCGUCGCAGAAAUAGGUACCCAAUUGGUUCACACAAGUCCCCGAGCACAUAUUUGAAUCCUCAUAUUAAGUAAAAUCGAAGGAAGAAGGCCACAAAGACCAAAUUUAUUUUUCUAGGUUCAUCAUACUCAAUUCAAUUCUAUGUUACGACCGUGGUUUUCCAUUUAUAUUUUUAUUCAAUCAAUUUUAGGAAAAAUGUUCGACACGGUAUGUAUUUUGACACUUAACCACUUUGUUUAUUUUGGGCCUUUUCUCUCUCUCUCUCUUAGCAUAUGUCAACCUUCGUAUAUCUUUCAUAAUUUUCUUUUCUUUUCAAAAAAUAGCAAAAAUAACCAAUGGUACUCUCCUAUGUUGACACCUACCCACCGUUAGUAAUUAUUUUUGGCCUUAUAGUUCUUUUUUAGGCCAUGUUCAGCUAUCGCAUUUUUUUUUCUUCAGAAUUUUUUUUCCUAUCAAAAAUUGCAAAUAUAAGCAUUGUCAAUGUUCUUCCCAUGAUUACGUUUUUCAUUCUAUAUGUUCUGUUUAAAAUACAUGGAUUCAUCUGAAAGAAAGUGUCAAUAUGCUAACAAAAAUCGUUGAAAUAAUCUGUCAUGGGACAUUCUACAAACAUAAAACAAUUGCAAAGAAAAAAAAAUGAUGGCCCGUUUUUUAUAUAAAAAGAAUCAUUAAAUAACUAGAAAAAUUCUAAAGAAAAAUAUCCACAUUCGUUUUGAUGUUAUGGAUGAUAUCACACGUGUGUCAUGGUUGAUUUUGUAUAUAAAGGAAAUGAUAAAAUCUCAUGCAAACACUUUAAAAGAAUGGUUUUUUUUUUAAAAAAAAAAAGGUAAUUGACUUUAAAAGAAUGGUUAAUACUUAAAAAAUUAGAAAUUGGUACAUUUGUGACAAAUUUACCAAAAACUAAUUUUUUAACCACAAAAACCCCAAACUUGUAUACCUUGAUAAAUUUACCCCAAAUCGAUACAAUUAUGAUAAAUUUACCCUCUUUAGCUUUUGUUAAAUUUUAAUCUCAAAUUGCAAAGUUUGAUAAUGUAUGACAUUUGACUAAUUUAUCAAUUUUAGAUUUUACUUUUUGUUUAUCACGGUUGUACCAUUUUUGUGGUUUUAUUAAUAUUAAUCCAAUUUAAGGGAAGAUGUAUUUGUCACAAAUAUACCAUUUUGAGGUUUUGAUAGUUGAAUAAAUUAGUUUGGGGUAAAUUUGCCACAUGUGUAUCAGUUUAAGACUUUUUGCAAUCAUUUGUGGUAUAUUUAUCACAUGUGUACCAAUUUAGGGUUUUUUGUGAUCCAAAAAAUAGUUUGAGGUAAAUCCAUCAUAGAUGUAUCAGUUUAUAAUUUUUUUAGGGUAUUAAUCCUUAAAAGAGUUAAGUGUGAGAGAAAGACCCAGAGUCUAUUUUUAAGUGUUAUGAAGUAUAUAUAUAUAAAGUAGUGGGGAGAUAUUUUCUAUGCAUCUUGGCAUAGUAACAAAAAUAUCACCACAUCUCAUGAGCCUUUAAAAAUGUACAUUUAAAUUUUACAUCAUCUUACUCAAACUACUAAAAAAGUAAGGCACAAAAGGUGAGUUUAUGAGGAAAUAGUAGAAGUAUUUAUAAAAAAAAAAAAAACACUUUCAUUAUAGGACAACUGUACAAUAAUAAUAUCCAAUUGAUUUUCUCCCGAUAUACUUACAUUUAUCGAAAGAGAAGACUAUAGAGAGAUUUUUAUUUUUAUUUUUAUUUUUAAUGUCAGACGGAACCAUUUAUUUUUCGCGUGGACCAAACCAUUAUUUGUCUUGACAAUUAAUGGUCAAAACAAAUUCAAGUUAAAAAUUGAGUUAAAGGGAGAAGAGUUAAAAAAUAAAGAAUCAAAUGACUGAAAUUGCAUCAUGCUAUAUAACAUUUUCUAGAUUGGGAGUUUUAUCAUUAGACUCCAUGUUUAAUUUAUUUAGAUGACAGGAUGUAAUAUUCACGAAUCUGGGUGCACCAAAGAUGGAUAGUCCUCGUUCAUAAAAUAUGUGCCCAAAUCAAACAGCAAACUUGAAUUCCGAAGAGCUGUGUACGAACAACAAACAUCCGAUCCACUGAAAAUGCAUCAGGCUAUAUAACUUUUUCUAAAUUGUGGGAUUUAUCACUUACAGACUCCAUGUUGCCUUUCUUGAAAUGAUAGGAUGGGAUAUUCCCGAAUCUGGGUGCACAAAAGAUGGAUAGUCCUUAUUCAUAAACAUGACAGAAUGAAGAAAUUUACUUACGUAUGAGGAAAAACUUGAUCAUAUUGCUUCUUUCGACGCAAUCAUAGGAACCUUGCCGAUUCACACAAUUUCUUCCAGGGCACGGAUCGGUUGGACCUUUGCAUUCAUCCACAUCUGAACAAAAGAUGACAAUCAAAAUUAGUAGAGCCUCGUCUCUUUAUUGGGUGUUUAGGAUCGCAUGUAAAGCUACUUCACCCUCCAAAGAGCUCCUCUUUAUUAGUACAGUAUUUCGAUGUUGUUGCGUUUCCAAUGAUUGGUGUGAUAAUAUGUAACUGGUCUUACCUUCGCAUCCAUAUUUAAUAUAGGGGUUACCGGUGAAUCCCCCACGGCAAGAACACUGCAGAAAUGGCAUCGCCUUGCGAUACACUGAAUUGAAGCUGAAAUUGCUGCACUCAUAGGAAUCGCCAUGUUUGUAAAUCUCUGAGGCAGCUCGGGAGGAUUUAGCUAUCCCCCAUUCUAGCACCGCUGGGAAAUGCCCGCUCGCCUUCAACUUAUUGAAGUCUAUAGGUGAACGUGUGAAUUUCGACCUAUCUCCCAAGAAGGCAUACUCGCAUUGAUUCUUUGCUGGACCCUUUUCGUGAUUGAAAGUGAUGCUGAAAGCCUGAAGAUCCGGGGUAAUCGUGGUGCGGCAGCAUCCAUCGCUGCCCGAACAAGUCAUCUUCCUAACAACCUUGUCAUCUUUGCAGCUAGACUUGCAUCCUAUGAUUGCAGACUUUUGGUCAUCCAAUAGAACACAUAUGUUGCAACCGACGGCGGUCAAGACGUUCCUUGACUCGGAGAAGAUGAAAUGGCUCCCGUUCAAGCUCACAGGCGUAGAGCUUCCAUUUCCCCUGCAUGUCCCAUUCGGCGAGUUGAUCAUUGGAAGACUGACGCUGAUCAUGCCGUUCUUUCUGCCAUAGGAAUCGGGUAGCGAAAUGUUGAGCACCCUCAAGUUGGGCUUCUUCAGCAUUGGGACGGCACUGUAGGUGCUUUCGUCGCAGAAGAUCUCGUACCACUCAUCGAGGAAACACCCGGUACCAAUCCCGAAGGGAAAGGGAAUGGUGACGCCACCACAUGUUGGGGGGCAAUUACCCUUCACCAGGGGAGCUGCUAGCGAGGCUUCUUCAUGAAGC
This 48153-nucleotide long non-coding RNA is filed under the name Eucalyptus grandis. RNAcentral describes it as "long non-coding RNA (EGRA_LNC006392)". The record is from RNAcentral. Lineage: Eukaryota; Viridiplantae; Streptophyta; Magnoliopsida; Myrtales; Myrtaceae.